UCAAAAGCACUUCAAAGCCAUUGACUCUGACAUUAUUUUGGCCAGCAUGCCGAAAUCGGGAACCACAUGGCUUAAAGCCCUCACCUUCAGUAUUGUUAACCGCAACAAUCAUUCAGUCGAUGACAGCCCUUUGCUCUUCUCCAACCCUCAUUAUCUCGUCCCUUUUCUCGAGAUAUAUCUGUACAAGGAUGGUAAUAUUCCCGAUAUAGACUCUAUGCCUUGCCCACGAAUCCUCGCUACUCACCUCCCUUAUCAAUUCCUUCCUAGCAGCAUCUUGGAUUGCUCCAAUUGUCGAAUCAUCUACCUGUGCCGAAACCCUUUGGAUGUGUUCACUUCGUUGUUGCAAUUCUUGCUGCAAAAUGGUCUUAUUUCAAGCCCAUCGAUGUCUAUUGAUGUACCUUUUGAAGAGUUUUGUCAGGGCAUACACCCGUAUGGUCCAUUUUGGGACCAUUGUUUGGGAUAUUGGGAUGCAAGCUUGAAAAACCCUCAAAAAGUGUUGUUUUUGAAGUAUGAGGAUCUAAAAAAGGAUGUCAAUAGCUCCGUGAAGAAGAUAGCCGACUUUUUAGGAUAUCCAUUUUCAGCUGAGGAACAGGAAGCCGGUUUGGUUGAAGAAAUAGCAAUGCUCUGCAGCUUCGAAAAUCUUAAGAAUUUGGACUGUAACAAGGAGGGGGAGAUACACGGCGCUUUUAGAGUUAAGCAUAGUUCCUUUUUCAGGAAGGCAGAAGUUGGUGAUUGGGUAAAUGUACUAACUCCUUCCAUGGCCAACCGACUUGAAAAAUUGUUUCAAGAAAAGCUUGGGGAAUCCGGGUUGACGCUGGAAAUCAAGAGCAAAUAGAUCACUAUGCGUGUUUCAUGUGAGAUUUCUCAUUAGAUUGUCAUGCAUGUUUCAUGUGGAUAUCUCUCUCCCCUCUUGGACUAGUUCAGCAAAUCUGAUCAACGGUUCAGCUCCAAAAACGAGAAAACAAAAGAGAAGACCUAAUACGCUUAUCUUCAACUAUUUGUUGCUUAUUGCUGUGUAAUGGUUGUAUCAGUUACUUUUCAUUCAGUUGUUGUAUGACUAAAAUAUCACAUAUGCGUGCACCAAAAUAUCUUUAUCAUUUUGACUGGGUUCAUUCCCUUCCUUGUUUUUUUCAAGCCGAAAUGAUAAAUAUGCUCAUAGAAUCGUGCUCAAAAUGUUUCCUGAUAGUAGGACUAUUCUCAUUUGAAACUCCAAGAAAAAAGGACAAAAGAAAAUAUUUGGGACUUAAGUCACAUAAUGGAUUUUAGUCAGGAGAACUUUUUGUAAAUCCUGUUUUGUGUUGUUUUUAAUCACUAACGAUGAAGUGUAUUGUGGUUUUGCUAUUUAGAGUUUUUGUUUAUCUGAACUACAAGUUUUUUUUUUUUUUUUUUGGCUUUCGUGCUUUGUUGGGGUGCCUUCACAAGCUCAUGAAUAAUCUGUUCAACCAUGUUACCAUAUACAUCAACAUAUGUAAGUGUUCUUGGGGAUUAAACCGUUCACCAUAUGUUUCCAAUUUUGACUUUGACUCGAUUAUCUCCUUUUCUUACUUUUCCAAAUGCAAAUGACGUCCUCACAGAAUUGUAGCUCAAAAUUUUGUGUCAUAAUGGUAAACAUCUCAUAAUGGUGUGUGUGAUAAUGGUACAGUCGGUUAUCUCUCUUUCUUACUCUUUUUUUUUUUUUUGGUGAUAGGCUCUCUUUCUUAGUUCUAUCAAUUAAUUUAAUGAAAAGGUAGUGCUUUAUAUCAGUUUGCGCGUACAUUGCUUUUGUUUGGGAGGCAAGUUUUUUUUGGCCUAUUCUUAAUACACAAAAUUUUUUUAUAACUUUGUCUCUAAUAACUUUCUAAAACACACUACGGUUUUUCAAAAUAUACACCCCAAAAAGUCAAAAAUACACAAAGUUUUUUCUUUCUUUUCUCUUUUCUUUUUCUUCCUACGUCGUUUCAACCCACCAAUAUCGACUGGCGUUCCGUGGCGGAGCUAGAAAAAAGUCUUAGUGGAGGCAAAAAUAACACUAAAAUUUUUUAUCUACUCUUUUUCUAGUUUCUUAAGCAAAAAUAAAUAAAUAAAUUCACCAACAAGUACAAAUUAUACAUAUAUUCCCUUAAAAACAUAAAAAGACAAACUCAAAAUUAUUAAUGUAAUAAUAAUUUUAUUUCAAAAACAAACUAAACUAUUUACAAUUGCUCACGACAAGUUUUCAUAUUUUGAUAACGGUUUAUAACUUUCUCAUUUUGAACUUCACAAAGUAUAUUUUUCUCAAUAUAAGUAACUAAACUAAAUUUUGUGACUCAUUUUUUCACAUCUUUUCUAAAAAACCUCUGGGGCACAUUUAAAAUUAUAUCAAAAUUGUAUAAGUAUUAUAGAAAUUUAAGAGUGCAGUGGGGGCCGUGCCCCCACCUUCAAUCCGCCCCUGCUGGCGUUCCGCAAGCACCCUUCUUCCCUCUUCCCUCCCUACAACACCAUUUUUUUCUCUCUCCCUCUCUCUAGUCCUCCCACUUUCCCCUCCUUUCUCCCACCUUCACUCCUCCUAUCUUCUCCUUUCCCCCCUCCUUCUCUUCCCCCUCUCCCUCGCCUCACCCCUAUUUCUCACAAAUUCAUAGAUACUGUGAUUUUUGUCACCGACACAAUCUAAAUGUCUAAACUUUUAAUAAAUUGAGAGAUUAUUCACCCUUUUAGAUUUUAAGGGAAAAUAUUAUCUAAAAUUUAAUGAUAAACUUAAGUUGAAAUUGAGAGGUUUAUUUAUGUUAGAAGGCUAUUAAUGAUUUGCAGACUUCUAUGACUCUUAAAAUUACAGUGUAUGUAAUAUUUCGAUACAUAAAUAUGCCCUAACUCUUGAUACCUCAGCCAAAUUACACAAACAAUGACGACACAGAUAAGUUAAAAAUAAAGACUUAAUAUAGAAUGUUAUUAUAUUUAAAACACUUCAACUUUUAUCUCUGGUCAACUAAUUCGUUUCACAAUGACUUUUCUUCACUAACCAAAUGCCACGAGAAAUAUCCAUCUUUUAUCACAAGGAUAGUCUUUUGCAUAAUUAGAAUCUUGAAAAAUCACAUAAUUUUCAAUCCAUCCUUAGCAUUAUUAUGGGAUCAUGUAAUUCUAAUGCUCGACUCAAACUCGAUUAAUAGAGCUGUGAAGCUAGUACCACCCAUUUGUUGGAUUUUUUUUGCUUUGGCACUAUUAUUAGUUAUCCAUAAAACUCUAUAAUGGUGUGUUCCAUAGCGAGAUAGACACAUCCUAGAUUACAAUUUUUUUAAUUUUGAUUAAAAGAUAUUUUCACGAGCACUUCAGGUUUUUUGUCUCUUUUUUCUGAGUUAUAGUCCGGCAAAUAGCUUCCAAAUUCGAUUAAUUUUCAUAUGGACUAACCAACGUAGUUCCUUUUCAUUUUUCUUGUUCCUUUUUUUUUUGGGAGAAAGGGGGGGUGAGUGUUUGGAAGACUGGCCCAUAUUUAGACUGACACAUUAUUAAUGGUGUCCAGAUGUAUUUUUUUUUUCUGGCAACGAUAGAUGUUGUAUAACUUACAACACCUAGUCUAAGGGAAGGGGCAGGGGGAUGGUCAACUAAGACCAGCCACAUAUUGUGGCCAAAUUGUGGGAGGCAGGGGUUGAUCCCCUAACCUUCAGCAUCACCAUUAUGGUGAUGACCACUGGACCAAAUGGCCAAUGGCAAUGGUGUCCAGAUGUAUAGGUAGCUCAAUAAUUGACAAAGCAACUGAAUGCAAGUCACUUUCUCUUGUCUGCAACAAAGUCGGCAAUAAAUAAUCCUUAAAAAACAGUAAGGAUGAUUGACAAAAAAGAAACAAAAAAAGUGGCUAUAAAUAAUAAAUAUUGUAGCAGUAACAAGUUUAAUUUGAUUCAGAGUUUUAGAUGAUUGAGACAUAGGGAUGGUAAUGAGGCAGGUGGCUCUGUUUUUAAACUCGGAUCGGACCGGCCGAUCCGACUAGUCGAAUCGGGAAUGUGCCAAUUGUUCGGUCUGAGUUAAUCCUAAAAAUUGGAAAAUAAAAAAUUCUGUCAAAUCAGGUCAAAAAUCGAGUUUGAUUGGAAAAUAUGAACCCAGUCUCUUUUUUUUUUUUGAAAGGUCAAAAUAUUUUUAAUAUUAUGUUUUGACCCCUAAGUUAUUAAAAAUUAUUAAUAUACUUCAAAUAUUUCAUACUUUAUAAAUGUUGUCUUAAAGUUUGGUGUUAUUUUUCAAUUAAAUCCAUAAUUUUAAUUCUAAACUUGUUAAUGCUCAUUAAAUAAUAUAAAAAGCUACUUGAUUGUUCUAAUUUAUUUGUAUUUUCCUAUUAAAUAUAUUUGAGACAUCAAAUAUAUAUAAAUAUACCUUUAUUAAUAUUAACAUGUUAUUAGGUAUUUUAUGUGAAGGCCCCCCACUUCUCCCAAGGGCAAACCCAAGGGUAUUCGCGGGACGCCCGUCCAACUCUCGCCAGGACUCAAGACAAUUCGAAUCGAACUUAACGAUACAUACCAAAAUACUACAAGUCAAAAUAAAGAAAAGUCACUUCCUUAACUAAAUAUUCAAAUCUUAUAUCAUGUUCACAAAAGGAUACAUCGAGUCCCAAAAUACAACCAUUAAAAGUCAACUACACAUUUACAGCCCAGAUUCCAAUCAAAAGUAUAAUCUAGUCGGCUUUUCCAAAAUCUUCCAAUCCAACCUGUUAAGGAAAACAAACUAAUGGGAUGAGCCAAUACUUAGUGAGGCCAGGAAACACACAUGCAAACAUAUAAUCCAAGUAGCCACAAAUUACAUAGUAAGUAAAGUUAUAAAGUUCGAAUAAUUCACAUUUCGAAUAGGAAAAAUAAACAGAAACAAUUCAAGGAUACUGUAGCUCUCAGGAGCUAAAUUCCACGUAGUCGAGUCGAAGUUUUGAUCACAUUGCACGUUGACACUCUGUCAACCACAUAAGUAUCAAAUCCAUAGAUACACCACUUUUCUUCGAAUCCCGUCACCGUUACACCCCUUACCGGGCCCGCUCAUCAAAGUUUUUUAUAAUACUCGAGUAUAUCAUGGCAAUAUUGCACGAGUAAUGCCAAGCAAGAUCUCUCCAAUAGAUCAUGCUCUACGAAUAUCUCAUGGUUGGCUAAGCUUAUCGACCAAGCCCAUGCUGGCUCGAUUCGCAAAGUUAACCAACGAGUUUGGGCGUCCCCCGAAUACGAAUACGAAUAUAAGUCAACGAGCAACGCUCAAAUCGACGAUUCCAAAUAGGAAUCACAAAUACGGAUCACAUAUACGAAUCAAAACAAAUACGAAUCACAUCCACAUUACCAUGUACAAGUCGGAUAUGAAUUCAUAUAGCAAAAUUCGAAUAUAAAUUCAUUUGAAAGAGCACGAGUGCGGUAAAGUACACUCUCGUCUCAAAAUUUCAAAUUUUCAUAACGGAUAAGAAACAGAUAACCACUUAAUAUCAAAUUCAUGCACUUGACACUCACCAAUCGAAACAAGGGAGUAAGUGCGUAAACGAGCCUUUAGGUGUUCCCCUCGAGAUCCUCUUGUAGGUCUCCUUGAGCACCUGAGCAAAUAGUAAUUGUCUAUUACACACUAUCGCUUAAAACCCCUAAUUAUCGAGGAAGAUUGCACACUUGUACAAUCUAAAAAAAUUUCACGAAAAUGAGCCUUAAUUACUCGUAAAUCGAGGCUAAAAAAUGAGGUUUUAAAAUACAAGUGAAAUCUGAUUUUCAUCUUUGAAAUCAAGUGUAAAACGGUUUAGCAAUAUCGAAGGAAAAUAGAGAGUUCGCAACCCUCAAUUUCCUUUAAGUUCGGAAAUUUCAGAUUUGUCACCCAUAUUUUGAAAAAUCGUAUCUCAUUCUCUACAAUUCCAAAAUUGAAAAACUUAGUGCCAUUGGAAACUACUUCCAAAGUACUAAAAGUUCCUAGAAGACACUUUUCCAUGAUUCUAAUUGGAAAAUAUUCGAAAUUUAGCCCAAAAUUGCUGUUUUAGAAAGUCAAGACAGAUUUGGGUUGAUUUUUGACAAAGUUUGAAAAUUCGGCAAAAUUCAUACAAUUAAAGCUAGCCUCUGAAAUUUGGAACUCUAUUAGAGUUGUAAUCCAGGUUUAAAACAAAAUAAGUGGAAUGAGAAUUGAAGUUUCGAGCACCAAGAUAUGGUAGCUCAAAGUUACCCAAAUUUCCUUGUUAAACAAGGGUUUUCCAAAAUCACGUCACGAACUUUGGAACUUUAGUUGAGCAAUGAAACGGCCUCGGAAUAAUACCAAAAUUAGCAGUAUAAUACUACCAUAUAAGGGUUGUUCCUCUACCAAAUUUCAUGGAGAAAUAAGCACAGAAAGUGGGUUAACAAAACCGUUGAAAUCACAAGAAAUUCUAAGGCUAAGUUGCCUUUGAACUUCCGUUUUGUCGUUUCCAAACAUUUGGUCAAGGAACAUCUCAAACAUGGUUCAUUCCAUUAGAAAAUGUCCAAAAUAUUUUCAAGGUACAUUCGAUAGAUGAUUUACAAUAAGAAACUUUGGAUAACAAGUCCCAAACCGUAGUUAGUUUCAAAUCUGUCCAAAACACUGUUUUCGUUCACAAAGUCAGUUUUGAAUUUCAAUCAUAAAUCACUCAAUUCAACUCAGAAUUGAGAAUGGUUGGCAGCGUUAGAAAAUAGACUCAUAAGGCUAUAUUUUCUCAGAAGAAACUAUUUUCAAAAUCUAUCCAUAACAAGCUCAUACGUGAGCAUCAAAUCACAGUUCAUAAUCUGCCUCCCAGUGACAAACGAAACAGGACAGCAAUUUUUAAACGAAUGGUUUGGCUCACUCGAGAGGAACCAGAAUGUGUCUUUUAUACCAAAUGAAAGCUGGGAAUGUCUAGUUUCCAUUUCCACAAACGGCACUCAAAUCUGACAUCGGAGAGAUGAAUUAUAGCCGAAACAAGAUGACUGUCUGGUAGUGACGGGAAUCAUUUUCCAGUUUUCAAAACUUUGGAAAUCACUUCAUUUAACCAACUAAAUCAUAUUAUUUUUCCAUGAAACUUUUUACACAAUCAGUAUAACAUGUAAAAAACAUAAACAAGCCAUUAGAACCUCAAAAUCUUGUACAAAAGUGGUUGAACAAACCAGGGGCAAAAUGGUCACUUUUUCCCUUUGCACCUCAUUUGAGUUUCCAUCAAUAACCCAACAUUAAUCCACCAAUAUAAGCACUAAACCAACAUUACUUUCAUCAUCAAUCACCAAAUCAGUCCAUAUACCCAAGGUGGGAGUUUAUAGAGCCCACACGACCAAUUUUCCAUCACAAACAAGCUACCCAUAAACAUGUAAGGGCUUAAACGUGCAUUACUACUUCCAUGAAGCGAGAUUUGGAGAGUUGAUCGGGCUCACCUUCUUAGAUGCACAAGGACAGAAUUUUCGGUCCCCUCUUGGUCCAAGAAAUUCAUGAAAACAGCCCCUCCUUCUUAGCUAGAUACAAACUCCAAGGGUUAAGCUAGUGUAGUUCAAUUUUUGUGUGAUUUGGUGAUGUUUUGUGCAAGAAAUGAAGAGGAAAAAUUUGGAAGCUUGGAGUUGUUCUUCCUUCCUCCUUGGCCGCUGGAAUGAGAGAGGGAAAUGAGAGUGUUUGGCCGGCACUUGAGGUGAGAAGAGAAGGGUUUUGAUCUGGUGUGAUGCUCCCUUGAGAAGCCUAAGAAUGUGUGGCCCAAAAUGCUCCAAAAGUCAACUAAGGAGAGUGCGUGUACGCUCGCGUUUCGUGCUCAUUUCCUCUUGGAUUUGUUUCACUUGUGCAUUAAACCUUUAAUGCACUUAUAUUCAUACUAUUAUUAUUCACUCUUAAUAGUCAAAAAAUAAAGCCCUUAAGUCCCUUAAUUGAUCGCUCGCGUAAAAACGCGUACUUCCAAUUAUACGCGAUAGAGCGAAAUUUCUAAGAAAUUCUUAUAACGAUAGUAUUACUAACUAAUAAUUGAGCACUUAAGCAUAAAAAUACCUAUUUUGAAACUAAUAUACAAGUCUCCAAUUUUUCAAACUUUUUGUAUCUUCAAUUCAAUUAUUUACUCCAAUCACGUAUUCACUAUUCUCACUUUACGAGUUUUCAAAAAUUAAAUUUUGAAACAAAUCACUUUAAAAAUAUAAUUAAGCUAUAGAAUCAUGUAAUUAGGUCUAAAUAGACUAGAAAAUAAUAUUCAGAACAAAUGGGCAAUUAAAUAUUUAAAUAAGCUCGAAAUGGAAUUUAAAAUAAUAAAUUUUAUUAGUCCUCACAUGAGUCGAGUUUUAACUCCUCAAAUCUCAAAUUAACUUUUCUUAAUCUACUAUUGCUCAUUCUUACUUCUCCAAAAUUAAUAUACUCUCGAUUCAAAUAUAGUCUCGAAAAACGUGUACUCGUUGUUCCGAACUAAACGAGUUUUCAAAAAGUAAAUUUUCUAACAAAACGUUUUAAAAACAUAAGAGAGGUGUUUUUUCAUAUAAAUGGAUUUUAAGUAGUCGAAUUAAAUAAUUCGGAGAAAUUGAGUAAAUAAUAUUUAAAUAAACCAGUAAUAUAUGACAAAAAUAAGAAAAUUUUCGGAUCCUCACAUUUUACAUAUAAUAUUUUAAUUUUUAAAUAAUUUUUAUUUAUGACAUCAUCCGAUUCAAUCCCAAUAGAAUCUGGUUGAACCCAUUAACCCCUAACCUCUGAGCUCGAUCGAGUCGAUAUUCAGUCCAGUUCUGAAAACAUAGGCUACAGGCACCCAUCUCGCUGGGGGCUAAUGGAGCAAGGGGAUGGAGCACCCCACUUAGAAAUGGGGCGGGGGGGCGGGGACAUGCUCCCUCGCUCCACCACCUCGCCCUGCCACCCACUAAAAAAAAUAAAUGUAUAAAUAAAUAUAUAUGUAUAUAAUCAUAUAUAUAAUAUUUAAUUUAAUUAGUUACAAACUUAUGAUGAUGAUAUUAUUAGUUAUAUGUAUUAUAUAAUGCAUAUUAGUAUAUAUAAUAUAAUUGAUAUUAUUAAUUAUACUAAUAAUUAUAUAUGUCUACUAAUAGAAAUUAUUAAUUAAUUAUACUAAAUUUACUAAUACAUUUAUACUAAAUUCUUAAUUACACUUAAUACAAUAACACUUUUUUCUCAAAAAAAAAAAAUACACAAGUACAAUAAUGAAUUAGUGAUUGUAUUUGCGCUAAAAGUGAAAACUUGACUACUUUAGUUAUAUUUAUUCCAUUAUUGUAUUCAAAUAGCUUUUGUUUGAUUGUUUUUAUAAGUUUAAAUUGUGAAAUUACAAUAAAUAACAACUUGAUGAUAUGUUAAUAUUUUAAUAUUUUAAUAUUUAUUUGCUAAAAUUUGACUAUAAUAAAAUUAUAUAAUAAAUUUUUAUUAGUUUCGCAAAUGUCCCUGCAAGAGAAGCAGGGCGGGGCCGGGAAGGGGCUUGGUGAGAUUUCCGAGAACGACAAAUAAAUUUAUUCUGAUUCUAGGAUUGAUCCAACCAUCAAUGUACAUAACAAUUGAGUUUUGCUAUAAAAUCAUUAAUCCAGAGUUCAAAAAAGUAACCAAACAUUGGAUUACGCUUUGCUUGCAACCUUACUCCAUUCCUUUCUUUUAUAAAAAGGUCCAACUUUAUUUCAUUUGAUUGUCCGUGAUCCCAAGAUUUUCAAAAAGUAGGAUUAUAUGUAGAAAUUCGAAGGCGAAGCUGAUAUUGGUCUGUUUGGUUAGCUUGAUUUGUUUAAAAAAAAAAAGUCAAAUAUUUGUCAACUUGUAUCAUAAACAUAAUUUUCAAUCACAUUUUUACCUUACACACAUCAUACUAUAAAAAGUGUUAUAGAGUGUUAUUCCAAAUAAUCUCUUGUCCAAACACAUUAUUUGUUGUGGGAUGAGGAACGGAUGAGAUAAUUGAUAUUAUGAUUUUUUUUAAAAGUUAUUUUGCUAAAUUGAAUUCUAAUUAAAGGUUAAUAUUCUAAGCACUUUUAAAAUGUUCGAAAAUGUACUCAUUUGUUUCAUUUGUUUUUUUCUCUUCUUAUGAUCUGUUAAUAUAUGUUACAUAAUACUAGUAAAUAAUAAACAAAGAAAAUAAAAAAUAAAAAUUCUUUUAUUUUAUUUUUUUUAUUUUGUCGACACGGUAGUUUGUUCUAUUCUAUAUCUACACCUACUCUACUAAGAGGGAAGAGAUGGAUUCAAAUGGGUCAAGAGAGAAUCUGAAGGGAACUGUGAAAUUUUCAAAAAAUACUAAAGGUGAAUGCAAAUCAAGAAAUUCAAUCCCAAAUCUCUUGACCUGCACCAAGAAGAGCCUUAAAACUCUUUCGGCAGCCAACGACUUUAAAGCAAAGGUGGUUGGUUCUUUUACGCUGUAGUACUUGGUAAGUGCCUGAUCUGUUGCACAGUGAGAAAUGGACCACGUUCCCAAGUCAGCGACUGAGAACUGAAAACUGAGAAGUAGCUACGCAGGCUUGAAGUUUUAACAAAUUGAGUCAACAAAGAGCAGUAAUUGUUUUAUUGCCCUUGCUGCUUUUAUUCCUUGUCGUUGUCCCAACAAAGAGGAAAUAAAAAAAAAGAAGAAGAUACUGAUCACUUGAAUCCGAAUCUGCGAAUCCCAGAACGUACUUGAGCACAACAAUACCAUCUGCAUCUUCUUCUCUCCAUCCUUGCAUCGGUUAUUAGUAAGUUAAUCUAUCCCUUUUUGUUUAUCAACAUUUGGAGGAAUUAUGCUUAGAAUUGCUUUUGAGAAGACUUAAUUCAAUUGAUAUAUAACCAAGAGAUCAAUAAAUCGCAUUGAAUCCGAAAUUUUUUGGGUUUUUGACAUCAAACCAUUCGAUCAUCCAACCAUCAAUUUACCCCAGUUGAAGUAUUCAAUCUGCCGUGUCUGUUUCAUUGUUACAUUUCUUGCAUUUCAGUUUCUUGGUCGUAGGAUAUAUGGUUGUUGGCCAAAAGAGAAAAAAGGAAGAAUCUUUUUCUGCUUUUCAUUUUGGAUGUGAUAUUGGGUUUUUGAUGUAAACUUUAUUGUUUCUGCCUUAUUAUUUUAUGAAAUAGAAUUAGCUGAUUUUAACAUGAAUGAUAUUUGAGCAGGAUUGCUUCUGCUCCUGGAAAGGUUUUGAUGACUGGAGGUUAUCUAAUUUUGGAGAGGCCUAAUGCAGGGAUUGUCCUGAGCACAAAUGCACGAUUUUAUGCCAUAGUGAAGCCACUUUAUGAGGAAAUCAAACCUGAGAGUUGGGCUUGGGUGAGUCUUUUUUUUUUUUUCAUAUUGUGAACUUUUCUUUCAGUAAUAAGUAUUUUCCACUUCAUUCUUUAUUAUGCAAGUCAUAAGUUUGAAUACUAUUUGUCCGAAGUUUACUCCCUGAGAAGAAUGCUUGGUUCAGUAGAGGAUAAAGAAACCCAUAUUAUUUAAGAAAGUUAGAAGCCCUAUGAAGUAAUUAAUUUGGUGCCAUUUGAUAACCAAAUGAUAAAAGGACUAUGUCUUAUAUUAGGAUGGGCUUUAACGAGGUUACUUGAAUUGAUCUUUUAUUUGAAGCAGGCAUGUUUUACCUAAGUUUCUUCAUUCUUAAUCAACCUCUCUCUAGUAUGUAACUGUAUGAAGUGUCUUUUUUCUCUACCUAUGUAUCUUUAACCAUAAUCAAUUUAUUUCGCAGAAUUUGAAUAGAGUUUGUUCUUAUUAACUUUUAGGCAUGGACAGAUGUAAAAUUAACUUCUCCACAGAUGUCGAGAGAAACUAUAUACAAAUUGUCCCUCAAACAUUUAACUCUUCAGCCUGUGUCUUCAAGGUAAGUCUAUCUGUUUUCACGCCUUACGUUGGUCGAACUAUAUCUGCUGAUGUCUUUCCAUUUAACUUCAAUCAUUUUUGUUUGCAAUUUUACAAUUAGAUAUAUGUAUGCUUUUGUGGAAUUCUGGAUUGGAUUCGUGUUUUAAAAACCACAUGCAAAGGAUUCAUGUAUUAAAUGGAAUUCACUGGAGUAAUGCCUUAUGUUGUUGGCUUAAUAGCAGUGCCUCAAGAAACCCCUUUGUAGAACAUGCGGUCCAAUAUGCAGUGGCAGCAGCUCAUGCAAAAUUUGGCAAAGACAAGACAGAUGCAUUACAAAAGAUACUUUUGCAAGGUAAUGUCUGACAUUUCACUCUUCAUAUUUGUUCGUUAAGCUGAAUGAAUAUAAAUGAAUCCAAGUUGCUGAUGGAUUAGUCAUGCAGGUCUUGAUAUUACGAUUCUAGGAUGCAAUGAGUUUUAUUCAUAUAGGAAUCAGGUAUUUCACGUUUCCUGUCAUGUAUCUUCAAGCCGUGACAGCUUAGUGGUGUUUAGUGAUCAUUUCCUUCUUGUCCCUCUUAACACAAUGGCUGUCUCUAAAUUAGUGGUUGACUUGAAUCAUAUCUAUGCACCAAAAAGCAAUUUGCUAGUUGUUCGAGUGCCAGGUUUCAUAAUAAUAAAAGCUUACUCAGUUUGACUCUUGCAAUUGAUGUUCUCUUAGCUUCCUUCGGCACAAUCAUCUAUUACUUAUAUCAUUGUGAGGUUCCUGUUCAUGUUUAGCAAAGAUUUGUAGUUCAAUAUCUUCUUGAGGUAGUCAUGCUUUCCAGUUAACUAACCAAUAUAAGAAUGGAUUUUGUUAUUUGGAUCUUAUUGUUUCGUAUAUGUCACUGUAUACUUUCAUAAUUGAAUGAAACUUUUCUAAGAUCAACUUAUAUAUGUGAGAUUCUGAAGUGGAACUUUCCCUUGCAGAUUGAGAAACGACUACAAAAAACUAAAUUAGAUCAGUCUUUUAUAUUAGGAAAUUUUAGAUAUUUGAAGCUGCUGACUCUAUCUAAUUGAAGAAAAAUGAUGUACUUACUAGAUUUACCAGACCCACUGAUUUUAGGAACUCGUGUUAGCAAAAUUUAUUUUCUUUAGAACAUUGAUGUAUACUUGUGAAUUUGAAUCAACCUCUGUUUCCACAUAGGACUUGAUAAAGUUUUUUUUUUGGCUUUCGUGCUUUGUUGGGGUGCCUUCACAAGCUCAUGAAUAAUCUGUUCAACCAUGUUACCAUAUACAUCAACAUAUGUAAGUGUUCUUGGGGAUUAAACCGUUCACCAUAUGUUUCCAAUUUUGACUUUGACUCGAUUAUCUCCUUUUCUUACUUUUCCAAAUGGAAAUGACGUCCUCACAGAAUUGUAGCUCAAAAUUUUGUGUCAUAAUGGUAAACAUCUCAUUGGAAUAGAAAAACUGAAAUUUGGGAAUUAACUAUGGUGUGUGUGAUAAUGGUACAGUCGGUUAUCUCUCUUUCUUACUCUUUUUUUUUUUUUUUUGAUAGGCUCUCUUUCUUAGUUCUAUCAAUUAAUUUAAUGAAAAGGUAGUGCUUUAUAUCAGUUUGCGCGUACAUUGCUUUUGUUUGGGAGGCAAGUUUUUUUGGCCUAUUUUUAAUACACACAAUUUUUUUAUAACUUUGUCUCUAAUAACUUUCUAAAAUACUCUACGAUUUUUCAAAAUAUACACCCCAAAAAGUCAAAAAUACACAAAGUUUUUUCUUUCUUUUCUCUUUUCUUCUUCUUCCUCCGUCGUUUCAACCCAUCAUUAUCGGCUGGCAUUCCGCAAGCACCCUUCUUCGCCCUCCCCCCUCCCCCAACACCAUUUUUUUCUCUCACCCUAUCUCUUGUCCUUCCGCUUUUCCUUCCUUCUUUCUUCCUCCCUCACUCCUCCUCUCCUCUCCUUUCCCCCCUCCUUCUCUUCCCUCUCUCCCUCACCUCACCCCUAUUUCUCACAAAUUCAUAGAUGCUGUGAUUUUUGUCACAGACACAAUCUAAAUGUCUAAAGUUUUAAUAAAUCGAGAAAGUUUUCACCCUUUGAGAUUUUAAGGGAUAAUAUUAUCUAAAUUUUAAUGAUAAACUUAAGAUGAAAUUGAGAGAUUUAUUUAUAUUAGAAGGCUAUUAAUGAUUUGUAGACUUCUAUGACCCUUAAAAUUACAGUGUAUAUAAUAUUUUGAUACAUAAAUGUGCCCUAACUCUUGAUACCUCGGCCAAAUUACACAAACAAUGACGACACAGAUAACUUAAAAAUAAAGAUUUAAUAUAGAAUUUUAGUAUAUUUAAAAAACUUCAACUUAUCUCAGGUCAACUAAUUCGUUUUACAAUGACUUUUCUUCACUAACCAAAUGCCACGAGAAAUAUCCAUCUUUUAUCACAAGGAUAGUCUUUUGCAUAAUUGGAAUAUUGAAAAAUCACAUAAUUUUCAAACCAUCCUUAGCAUUAUUAUGGGAUCAUCUAAUUCUAAUGCUCGACUCAAACUCGAUUAACAGAACUGUGAAGCUAGUACCACCCAUUUGUUGGAAAUUUUUUGCUUUGGCACUAUUAUUAGUUAUCCAUAAAACUCUAUAAUGGUGUGUUCCAUAGUGAGAUAGACACAUCCUAGAUUACAAUUUUUUUUUGGGAAAAUUCCACUUUACUCUCCUGCGGUUUAACCUUUUUUUAUAUAACCCUCUGACGUGCGCAGGGUAUACAUAUCAAUUUAACCUCAUUCUAAUCAAGUUUUACAUUUAUAAACUCCUAAACACCCCACACGCGAUUUAUCGCAAGUAUACGAAUCGUGAGCGAGUAUAGGGUAUUAAGGGUCGAUCCCACAAGGAAGAUUGCAAUUACCGGUACUACUAAAGCUUCUCUAUUAUUUAGACUAUCAAUGAAUUAUAACAAAUUUUACCUACUCAAAUUAUACAAAAUAACAAACAAAAGCUCCUUAGGUUGUGGUAUCCCUAACUACUCAUGCAAGUGUUAUAUUUGGAUCAUUGAAUACUACAUCUAGGCUAGUUAUGGUGUAAUUUCCUUAUGCAUGUGAAACCUACUUUCGUAGUGAAUCAACUAUACUCAUAACUAAUCCAUACCUAUUUUCAUGGUUAUGAAAUUAGCUACAAGUUCAUUUUUUCAAUGAAAUUACAUGAAAUGAAUCACUAAAAACCACAUAAGUGCACCUCUACUUUCGUGAGUGUACUCCCUAUGUUUAGCACUUCUUGAACUAGUGUUAAAUCUCAAUUUUCAUUGCAGAAACAACACCUUAGAUAAUCACAAUCAAUGGUACCAGAUUAAUCAUGAUUUAAAGAGCCAAAGUGCUAAAUAACUUGCUCAAAUCAUAGCAAUCAAAUAACCAAAUAAUAAACACUAACAAUUAUAGAAAGUUCAACCAAACCCAAGGCUUAAACUUUAAACACACAUAUUGAACACAAAAUCCAGAACUUGUAUAUUAACUAAACUUGGAAUCAAAUACAAAAGAUAAAGAGUUUGGAAGGAAUACAACCCUUGUCACAUGAGCUUUCUUCCUUGCCUUCUUCAUCCUCCAUCUUCAUCCUAAUCCUUGUCACAUGAGCUUUCUUCCUUGCCUUCUUCAUCCUAAUCUAGAUAAUAAACAAGAAUGGAAAAGCUACACUACUCUAUACUAAGCUAAACUAACACUAGGGAGAUGAAAGAGCUACAUUUCUACAGACUCCAAGCUUCUCCCGUAGCUCCCUCUCUAUUUUUCUGCUAUCUCCUCUUCUCUUGCUCUCUACUUCUUGGAUCCUCUCUCUUGCAAUGAAUUUGGCUAUUUAAUGAUGAAAGGUUGGUCAAGAAAUGAUGUUUUCAACUCCCUUUUACAGCUGGUAAUGUCUCUCACAUGUCUAGCAUCACAUGUGAGUUGGUGGAGGUGAAAUUGAGUUUUACGCGUAUAAAGCAGCCUUUUCUGACCAGUGAUCCGAGCUGCUACAGUGCCUCGGAUCCAUACGGAGCUCGGAUCCACUAACCCAGAAACAGCCGAGGGUUCGGAUGAAUAGUGGAUCCGAGUGUGGAUCACUUGCUCUAUUUUUGGCCCAACUUCAACCGAUCUUUUCUUGAUGUUAGAGGCUGAACCAGCUCAUGUGUAAAACACGAAAGUUGUAGCCUUUUGAGUUAUCUUUCCAAUGCAUCAAGAAUCACCUCAUUUGGAUCUGUGUAGGCUGAGAUAUGACUGAAAUACCCUUGUCUGCUCAUUGCCCUGUUUCAGCUUCGACCAACAGAAAUUAGCUAAUGUAAUUCGGAUUUUUGAUUUUGAAAACCUUCAAACUGGAUUCGGAUGUCUUCACCAAAGUUGUAGAUCUAUCUCUUAUCUUCAAAUGGGUUCAAGAAUCAUCCCAAUCCGAUCAUUGUAACUCAAGUUAUAGCCGAAAUACGAAAAUGUGUCAAAACUGUCAAAAUACACAAAAUCCAAGUAAAAAGUGAUAAAAACCUCAUUUAAUCACUUAAAAGCAUUUUUCACCAAUUAUAGCCAAAAUGAUUCAUAUUCUUCCAAUAAUAUAACCAAAGUGACUAAAAAUAAUAUAAAAUGUCAUACAAUUAUUACGUAAAUUAGUCACUUAUCAAAUUCCCCCACACUUAAAUCAUUGCUUGUCCUCAAGCAAUUCACACAUAAUCAAAUGCAAUGAUUCAAGAGGUGAAAUAAUAUAUGCACUUUGUCCAAUUUAAUUCCUCAAGACUUGGAAAAUAAUCAUUAUACAAUUAUUCAAUUUACACUAAAUACUCAUAAUAUCAAGUAAAGGAAAGAUAAUUAUACCCUAAAUUCAACAAGUUAAACUUAAUCUCUUACCCUAACUUAAUUUUACAAAUAAGCAAAUCACAUAGUCAAUUUAUAGCUUUCCUCCUCCUAUAAUCAUCUUUUUCUCAAAAUUCUAUAACUAAGAGGGAUUUAUUCACACAAAUUUUACUUAAAUAGUGAGAAUGCCUUUUUACGCGAAAAUCGACACUUUUAGGUGAAGAUCCCCGGUUACUCAACAUUUCACUUAUUCAAGUUGCUAUGCAUACUCUUAAUUCAAGUACCUUUUUACGCGAAUGUCGACAUUUGUUGAUGCCAACUCCCGGUUACUCGGUACAUGAAUCAUUGGAGUAGAACAAUUUUUAUUUACUUUCUCUUUUUUCUCUUUUUUUUUUCUUUAUUUUUCCCUCAUAGAAAAAAAAAUAUUUAUAGAAAUAAUCAAAGGAGGAGUAUAACCUUUAUCGACUAUAUCAAUCACUUACUUGCAAAAUUAAGUAAAGAGAAGAAAUCUCAUUAAACAUGUAAAAUUAUAGGCAUAAUUUUCCUUACUUUACCAAAUAUACUUUCUAAAAUGUAAAAAUUCUAAUUGCAUAAUACUAUUUCCAAGUUAAAUGAGGACUAAACCUUCCAAAAUACAUAUAACAUUUCAACAAUUGGAAGAAUAAGGUUGGAACAAUUAGCCCUUUUUGAAUGAAAAUGCAAGAAUUUGAAGAACUUUUGGGCCAUAGUGAAAUAUUGGAAAAGAUUUUAGAAAAAAUUUCACAGAGUUUCUCCUUAUAAAUGGAUGAAAACUCCCUGCCAACAAACCCAAUUUCAAGCAAAUUAUCCACAUGGCAAACAUUUCAAACACAAUUCCAACAUUUCUAAGCAUUUAAAUCCACAAAAUAUCAUCACAUAGGCUUAAAAUGCAAGUUCAAUAAUUUCCUCCCCCACACUUAAACUUCACAUUGUCCUCAAUGUGAGAAAAGGAAAAUAAAUAAAGAGUAAAAGAAAAUACUGCUCAAUUGAACUUGCGCAAUCCGAAUCCAUGUCCAAGUGAUGAAUUUCCAACUGUAUUUAAGAAAGAGUGGAGAGUUCACUUAUUGCACCCUGAAAAAGACAAAAUAAAAAAAAUAAAUUUCUUAAAAAUAAAAGGUUGCAAUCAACAAAAUCAUUCAAUUUAAGGAAAAAGGAAAAAUGAUCAAGCAUGUGGAACCAUACAAUGUUCAAGGGAUAAAAACAUGAAAUGAGCUAAUCUUUGCUAAUCAAAUAUAUGCAUUAGUAUCCAAAGCAAAGGGAAGCUAAUUUCACACAAAAAAUCCACAAUCAUGAACAAAAUAAGUUCCAUUUAUACAUUUUGUCAUCAAUGAUCAAAUCCCCGCAAGUACAAAAGCAAUCUCAAAAUGGAGGCGAACACACCAAGCCAAAAUAUAAAUGACCUUCUUGAGAAUUCAUGAAAUACUAGAAACCAUUGAACCACAAGGAUUAUAAGCGCAUUUAUGAAUUUCAUCAAUUAAGGUCAUCUUCAAUUCACCUUUUCUUUUAGAAUUACCUAAGAAUUCAAGAAAUUAUUCAACCAAGCCCCUUUUCAUUCAUUUAGGUAAUCUAAAUUACUCACAUGAAUAUCAUAAACUCCCACAAAGCUAAUUAAAAUGCUACAUUGGCCACUUAAUAUGCAACUUUGUCACCAAGCCAAAUUAGGCAUAAAUUUAGCAAAAAUUCACCAAAUAAUUACAAACUCAUGAGUUAAACAUCACCAAUAAUCAUCAAUAAGUUCAAUAAGCACAAUGUAAAGCACCAAACUUCAGUAUACAGAUUAACUAGUAGUUUAGGGUAUAUAUCGGGUCGAUCCCACAAGGAAGAGUGAACAAUUACCGGUAUUACUAAAGCUUCUCUAUUAUUUAGACUAUCAACGAAUUAUAGCAAAUUAAAACCUAUUGAAAUUAUACAAGAAAAUAGCAAAUAAAAGCUCCUUAGGUUGUGGCAUCCCUAACUACUCAUGCAAGUGCUAUAUUUGGAUCAUUUAGUACUACAUCUAGGCUAGUUAUGGUGUAAUUUCUUUAUGUAUUUGAAACCUACUUUCGUAGUGAAUCAACUAUACUCAUAACUAAUCCAUACCUAUUUUCAUGGUUAUGAAAUUAGCUACAAGUUCAUUUCUUCAAUGAAAUUACAUGAAAUGAAUCACUAAAAACCACAUAAGUGCACCUCUACUUUCGUGAGUGUACUCCCUAUGUUUAGCACUUCUUGAACUAGUGUUAAAUCUCAAUUUUCAUUGCAGAAACAACACCUUAGAUAAUCACAAAUAAUGGUACCAGAUUAAUCAUGAUUUCAAGAGCUAAAGUACUAAAUAACUUGCUCAAAUCAUAGCAGUCAAAUAACCAAAUAAUAAACACUAACAAUUAUAGAAAGUUCAACCAAACCCAAGGCUUAAACUUUAGAUACACAUAUUAAACACAAAAUCCAGAACUUGUAUAUUAACUAAACUUGGAAUCAAAUACAAAAGAUAAAGAGUUUGGAAGGAAUACAACCCUUGUCACAUGAGCUUUCUUCCUUGCCUUCUUCAUCCUCCAUCUUCAUCCUAAUCUAGAUAAUAAACAAGAAUGGAAAAGCUACACUACUCUAUACUAAGCUAAACUAACACUAGGGAGAUGAAAGAGCUACAUUUCUGCAACUUCCAGCUUCUCCCGUAUGUCUCUCUCUAUUUUCUGCUAUGAACUCCCCAUCUCCUAUUUUUGCAAUGCAUUUUGCUAUUUAAUGAUGAAAGGUGGUCAAGAAAUGAGGAUUACAUCUCCCUUUUACAGCUGGGAAUGUUUCUCACAUGUAUAGCAUCCAAUGUGAGUUGGUGGAGGUGAAAUUGAGUUUUACGCGUACAGAGCAGCCUUUUCUGACCUGUGAUCCGAGCUGCUACAGUACCUCGGAUCCGUAUGGAUCCGAGCUCGGAUCCACUAACCCAGAAACAGCCGAGGGUUCGGAUGAAUAGUGGAUCCGAGUGUGGAUUACUUGCUCUGUUUUUGGCCCAACUUCAACCGAUCUUUUCUUGAUGUUAGAGGCUGAACCAGCUCAUGUGUAAAACACGAAAGUUGUAGCCUUUUGAGUUAUCUUCCCAAUGCAUCAAGAAUCACCUCAUUUGGAUCUGUGUAGGCUGAGAUAUGACUGAAAUACCCUUGUCUGCUCAUUGCCCUGUUUCAGCUUCGACCAACAGAAAUUAGCUAAUGUAAUUCGGCUUUUUGAUUUUGAAAACCUUCAAACUGGAUUCGGAUGUCUUCACCAAAGUUGUAGAUCUAUCUCUUAUCUUCAAAUGGAUUCAAGAAUCAUCCCAAUCCGAUCAUUGUAACUCAAGUUAUAGCCGAAAUACGAAAAUGUGUCAAAACUGUCAAAAUACACAAAAUCCAAGUAAAAAGUGAUAAAAACCUCAUUUAAUCACUUAAAAGCAUUUUUCACCAAUUAUAGCCAAAAUGAUUCAUAUUCUUCCAAUAAUAUAACCAAAGUGACUAAAAAUAAUAUAAAAUGUCAUACAAUUAUUACGUAAAUUAGUCACUUAUCACCCUCCUAUGGUUUUAAAAACUAUACAUAACCCCCUUAUGGUUUGGAUUAAAGUGUCAAAGUGACGGGAAUGACCAUUCGUAACGGAGUCACCUAAAAUGUCAAAAAUACCCUUAUGUAAAGUUGAAAAUUAUUUAUUAACCAAGGGGGGUUAUGUGUAUAUUUUGAAAACCAUAAGGGGGUUAUAUAGUAAAAUAAAAAAAUCAUACGGGGUUAAUGUGUCAUGUAUUUAUAAAGGUAAUUUCGAUAUUUUUAGAAAUUCCGUUACGAGUGACUAUUUUCGUCACUUUGACACUUUAAUUCAAAUCAUGAAGGAGUUAUGUAUAGUUUUUGAAACCAUAUGGGGGUUAUGUAAAAAAAUGCUAAACCACAGGGGGGUAAAAUAUAAUUUGCCCUUUUUUAAUUUUGAUUAAAAGAUAUUUUCACGAGCACUUCAGGUUUUUUUUUUCCACCCGAUUACAGUAGCUUUGCCAUUUUCACCCGAUUCGCUCACUUCCUUGCUUUUUGAAGGCGAACUGAUAAAUAUGCUCAUGUAAUCGGGCUCAAAAUGUUGCCUGAUAGUAGUACUCUUCUCAUAUGAAACCACCAAAAAAAAGGACGAAAGAAAAGAAUUGGGACUUGACAGGUGCCGAACCUGUACAAUAAUAAAUACCUACUCGAGAAAAAUACAGAUUUUGUAUAUAGCGGUGAGUAGGGUCGAGUCCACAGGGACUGGGGAUAAUUGGUUUCUUCUAGAGUCCAAAGUAUGGGGGGUUUUGGAUUAAAUGCUAACUAAAUAAAUUAACUGUAGAAAAUAAUUAAUUAAAAUAAAUGAUUGGGGAAACUCUAGCCAAGGGUACACAUCAGAAAUGGUUCAUGCACUGAUCAUUGAUUUACAGAUAAUUCCAACAUUUAGUAACAGAUUAGUUAUAGUUGUCAUGCACGCGAUAAACAACCAACCCUUCCUUAAUUUCUUGAUAGCUAAGGUACGACCGUUAGCUAUUUCUCUAACCCAAAAAUAACCCCAGGUACGACCGUGGAAUUUAAUUUCUAGAUUGCAUUAAUAAUUAGAAAGGCCCAAUCCUAACCAACAAACACGCUAUGAGGGUUUGUUUAAGCUAGAUCAUAUGCUCCCCUGACAUAAACCCAAUUACGCCAGUUGCUACUGAGGUAGAGAUAACGAACAAUUACGGAUUCAAUUACCCCUAUUUAGCAAAAUAGCCUAUAUGAAUAAUUAAUUAUUGCGCACUAAUCAAUCAUACACAAGAGUUAUAACAGUUAAAAGCAGGAAACAUAUGAAUACCAAUAAAUAGAGGAAACAAUUAAAAUAAAUUCGAUCUCACAGUAAUUGUUGAACCAAGUCUUCAAUUGUCCCCUUGACUAGAAUUGAGAGGUUAGUCCUCCAUUAAUGGAGAACAACCAUGCGAAAAAGCUAAGAAAAGAAAACUAAAACUAUGCUAAAAGCUUAAACUAAAACUAUUGAUUGAUAAGAGUUCUCAGUACGUUUGUCUCCCUUUUUAAAGCCAAAAGGAAGUCUAAUGCUAUCUCUAGUGGUCUCCACACCAAAUUCAAAGUCUUGUACGUUUCUUUUCCUAAAGUCCAAAUGACUCAUGGUUCUUAUCCGUGGUCCCCACACAUGUGGACAAAACCUCCAAAGUACUUGUUGUUCCAAGUCUCUCUACGUUGCUUUCUUUGAAAAGCCCAAAUGACUAAAUGCCUUGCACUAGCUUGUGGUCCCCACCAAUUCAAGAGUCCAGGGUCCUUAGAAGUCUCCAUUUUCCCAUAAAAGUCCCUCCUUUUUGGUAAUUUUCUGCUUUGUUCCUGAAAUUAAGCUCCAAUACCAAAUAUAAGUAAAUAUUAAUAAUUAAAACAAUAUUUGGCAAGAAUAAAAGGGGAAAUUAACAAUAAAAUUACUAACAAUUAACACCCUAUCAAUUCCCCCCACACCUAAAUCAUGCUUGCCCUCAAGCAUGGGAACAACAAUUGAACACCAAAAUUUGACCAUGGCUGUUACUCUAACUACCGUAUUGCCAAGACACCAAGAAAAUCAUAUAUCAAACGACACAGGUCAAGAUCCAAGAAAAAUCACCCCGGUUAGCAUCUAAACUACCAACUCCUCCAAUUUAAAGCAAACUAAUCUAAGAAAAAGGAAUGGUUGCUCACAUUUAUCAGCAAACGGUCCAAUUACUAACCAAAAUCUCGACAUUAAGAUCACAAAUAGGCAAGCUGACUUUUUUUUUUAUUUUUUUUUAUUUUUUUUAAUACUAACACAAACUUUACUUUACUCUUUUUCACAUUCUUCCACUUUUUUUUUUCCAAUAAAUGACAAAAGACUUAGUUUCUAGCUAUUAGAGCCUUUUGACGCGAACUCCAACAUUUGAUAGAUGGAGGAGCCCGGUUACUCAGCUCCAAUCGCUACGGGACCACGCACUCAUAGCAAUCACUACCUUUUGACGCGAGAAUCGACACUUUAGGUGAAAAUCCCCGGUUACUCAGUAGUGAUAACUAGCGGAGUACAGUCACCCUUUAUUUACAAUCAUAUAGCACGAUAUCUAAAAGCAACACAAGAUUAACAGCAGCCAGCCUCAAAUUUCCAGACAUGGAGAACUAAAAUUAAUAAAUGGACCAAUUUACAUGAAAAAUGCUAACAAUCAUUCCCCAUGCCUAGAGAAGUUAACCAAAAAUAAGAAAAGUUAAGCAAUUAUUGAUAUUCACCAAAGAGAUGUUCCUGAACUCAACUACAUCAACUUGAUAUCCUUUUAUUACUAAAACUUGGCAAUAGCAGAAUUAGAAACAGCAAUCCAGUAUCAAACUUGGUAUUCACAUAAAACUGAUCACUAGUAAAAGUAAAAAGAAAAUAAACGAAAAAAUAGAACAAAUAACAACGAAAAUAAAGGAAAAAAAACUAAAAACUGAAUACCAGAAAUACCAACUGUACCACAGCUCUCCCCCCACACCUAAAUCCGACAUUGUCCUCAAUGGAGAUCAUAAAGUAAAGAAAAGCGAAUAGGACAACUACACUUCCCUGAAUACGUGGUGGAAGGUCUUGGGCAGCUAUGGAAUAGGUGGGAACGGUGGAGUGAAAAUGGUGCUACGGUAGUGCACGGCAGUGAAAGAUUGCAGAGGGGAGGAGAGCUCCGACGUGCGUCUUGAUCCAGGCGAACUAGAGUGCAACAGAGAACAUCAAACCAGCAAAUUUCCAAACAAUGCAGCAGUUUCAAUCAAUGGCCGAGGACGUCCAACAAUGUGCUUGAACGCAGUCAAUUCCAACGAAUAUGGCGAUCAAACAGACUAGAAGCGGUAAUAGAGUCUAAAUAAAUCAACAAAUCGCAACAAAUGAACUCAAUUUUACCCAAAAUCGCAACAAAUGUCCCCUAAAAUUCAGCAAGUCUAGUAAUAGCAGGUUAGAAUUUAAGCAAUAACAACUUAGUCACAAGCUCUGAGCUUUCAGUCAAGCAGCCAACCAAGGAGAACGAACAAAUGCAGUCAAAAUAGGCGAAAUUCUCAACAAAGCAGCUAUUACAAACAAUAAGCAAUGGUGGUCCGAAUGUUAGUCAAUGCAGAAAUAAUGCAACUCAAAAUCGCUGCAAGUACUCCAAUGGGCUUAGCAAUUGAAUUGAUAAGGACUAAAUACUCCCACACAAGGCAAAUAGAGGCAACCUACUUCAAUAAGCAAUGGAAAUGGCAUGGGAGCCAUCCAAUGCACCAAUUAAAUGCAAUAAACCCCAACCAAAGGCAGCUCAAUAGACUCCAGGCAGAAAGUACCAAAUGAUACUCACUUGACACCAAAAACGAUCCCAACAAAGCAGCAAGAUCGAAGGAUACUCAGUCACAGAUGCUCAAUCAUAUCGAAAUAAGAAAUUGUAAGCAAAUUAGCACAACCAGUACCACUGGUGUAUACACAGGAAAGAAGGGAACCACAUGGCCAACCCAAUUAAUAAAAAGCACAACUGAGGCACCCCAAAGGCUAGAAAAGUACCCUAACAACACAGCAAAUUGAAUGAAUAUGCACUGGGUCUCCAAUUCAGUCAAAAUAAGAUCAAGGGGCACGAUACAGAAACUAACAAAGCAGAACUCAAGUGAUACCAGUAGGGACCCCAACAGAGCAAUGAAUUCAACCAAUUGGAGCAAGUGAAACUCAACAAAUGUCACCAAUUGGACAUUCAAUUACCCACUUCAAGCGACCAAACCUAGCAAUUGGGCCAAGCAAUAGGCAAUUCUAGCAACCACCGUUUAGGAUUUGAGAUACAAUUUAAGCACUAAAACCCAAGAAUCAAGUAGGCAGUCAAGCAUAAAGGAAUAAGAAAUUUUAGUCAACACCACAUCCAGUACCUCCGCUGCAGGUUCAGGAAAAAAAAAUUAAAUCAAAUGGCCAACCCACUGCACCUGAUAAAUCCGAACACACCAAGUAGCACCAAAAAUGAGCAGAAAUCAAAACAACAAGCAAUUGGAAACUACCUCCUAAAUCAACCCCAACAAUUCCCAAACAAAUGAACUGGCACAAGAGCCGUCAAAUUUUAUCUCCCAGAUGCAAUAGAAAUCUCAAGUAGUCAAAACCCAAACAAUAUUCAACAAUAUAAUCAAUACCAGAGAGCACCCCCAAAUGAGGUAGCAAAUAAAUUGAAUUUCACCCAAAAUUAGCCCCGGAAAAUGCCCAAAUCACCUCCUGCUUGUAUCCAUCAAGACACCCAAGAAACAAAAACGUAAAUUCCAGCAAUUUAAGGACCAGAGAAAUACUAAUCAAGGUGGAAAUUGGAAUACCUCCACCUGCCAAUUUUGGGCAGGUGGUGACGCGCGGCAAGGAGGUGGCGAUGGUGGAGCUGCUGGAGGUUGGCGUGAGGUGAGGUGGAGCUGAUGAUGGCCGCGGGAGAGAGAGAAGUGAGGUGGGGGUGGCGUGUCUGUGGACAGCGACGCGCACAAAAGGAGAGGGAGUUGGUGGUCAGCGGCGUGCAGUGAAGGAAGAUGGAGGUGGCUGCUGGCGGUGGAGAGUCGUGGAAGUGCGGCGGCACCUGGUGGCGUUGGAGGCGCGCGAGCUCAGGAGGAGCUGGGCGCGCUGGUAGCGGAGCCGCGCUGUGGGUGGACGGCCGCGGGCAGAGCUUAGGAGGAGGCGCGCGAGCUGGUGGCGAGGCGGCGGGCGGCGGCGGACGAACAAAAGAAGAGAAGGAAAAGUGGAAAACUGGGGAACGGCAGAGAAGAAGAAGAAAAGGAAAGAAAAGGAAAGGAAAGAAAGAAAAGAAAGGAAGAAAGAAAAAGAAGAAAGAAAGAAAGAAAAAGAAAAGAGAAAAAGAAAAAAAAUAGUUUUUGGGAUUUUUUUUUUUUUUUUGCACACUCAAAUUUCAAACUUCGAAUUGUGAGAAUCAAAACUGAAGGUGUAAAACGGAAAAUGUUUUUAUUUUGAAUUUUUGAAAUUUUCUCUUUUUUUUUUUUUGGUCUUCAAACACCGCGUGGGCACGCCAAGAUUGCACUUCCUGCCACAGUAGAGAUUGCACUUCCUGCCACAGUAGAGAAAAAUAUGAAGACCAUUACUACUCAACUGAGAAACAAAAAAAAUGAAAGAAGUGAACAACGAAAAAUAAUAAAAUCAAUAUUUGGGUUGCCUCCCAAAAAACGCCCUUCUUUAAUGUCUUUGGCUAGACAUUGUUAUGUCUUGUUCAUGGAGGAUAAAAUCUUGUGGCUCGCUUCAAUGCUUCAUUUUCAAUGUGAUCCUGAUAACCCUCAUAGAUGGAGUAAUCCUUCAGCACACGAGCUACGAUCUUCUGUGAACUAGUAGAUGGCUCCAAACCGGUCAACAAUAAUCUGGAUUCUUCACUCACUCCUCCACCACGCGCAUUUAUCGGUUCAAGAUAUUUCGCCAUCUCCACUCUCAACUUAUUUCUGCCAUGAGACUCAAAAACUUCCGGUAUAACAAAAUCAAUCUCAUUAACAGAAAUCAUAGAGUAAGAGUUAGGAAAAUGCGGGUUAGGGAAUGGAGGUGGUGUCACCACAUUUGAUGAUUCUUCACUGGAUUCUUUCACUUGAACGGAUUGCAGUUGGGGUUCCAUUUCUUCCUUUUCGGCUUCUUCUUCAACUGCAUCUGUACAUCUCUCUUCUUGAAAAUCUUGCAGCUCCUCAUCACUAGUCAGGCAAAUUGCACUCUUAUUUUCUUCAAAAUCAACAAUGGUUUCCGAGGGCAAUUCUUCAAAUUGAGAAGCCAAUCGAUUUAUUCUGGAUGUCAAUAGACACAUUUGAUCUUCCAGAUUACUCAUUGCCUCCUUCAUCAUCUCAUUUCUCCUUUGUGUCUCCUGUUGGAAUUGAUAUGUAUUAAUAGCUAUUGAUUCAACUAUUUCUUCAAGAGACAUACCUGACAUAGAUGAUGAUUCUUGAGACUCAUACUGCUGAAAAUUCAUUGGCCCUGUUGUAUAAUUAUAACUGGAGUUAUCCCACCAUCCUUGAUCAUACCCGUUUGGAUUAGGAUUAUACCACGUUUGAGACCAGGGUGAAAAAUCUCCAUAAUUAUUGAAUGGGACACUCAGAUUAUCUUGAUAUUCGGGGCACAUACCGGUUGAAUGAUCCCUGGCAUAACAAAUUUUACAGGUUGCAGCAGCCAUUCUUUCUCUAAUAGAGUUUAGUGCCUCUGAAUACGCAAACUUAGCAAAAAAAGAAGCCUCAUUGCCUUCCCUAGAAACAAAAUCCAGUCUAUCACCAAAAUACGGAGUGUUAGAAACCAUAAACUAUAUAAAAAAAAUAAGAGGAAAAAAAAAUAAAAUAAAAUAAAAAAAUGAACUAAAAAAAGAAACAAAUUAAUCUGGCAUCAGUCCCCGGCAACGGCGCCAAAAAUUGACAGGUGCCGAACCUGUACAAUAAUAAAUACCUACUCGAGAAAAAUACAGAUUUUGUAUAUAGCGGUGAGUAGGGUCGAGUCCACAGGGACUGGAGAUAAUUUGUUUCUUCUAGAGUCCAAAGUAUGGGGGGUUUUGGAUUAAAUGCUAACUAAAUAAAUUAACUGCAGAAAAUAAUUAAUUAAAAUAAAUGAUUGGGGAAACUCUAGCCAAGGGUACACAUCAGAAAUGGUUCAUGCACUGAUCAUUGAUUCACAGAUAAUUCCAACAUUUAGUAACAGAUUAGUUAUAGUUGUCAUGCACGCGAUAAACAACCAACCCUUCCUUAAUUUCUUGAUAGCUAAGGUACAACCGUUAGCUAUUUCUCUAACCCAAAAAUAACCCCAGGUACGACCGUGGAAUUUAAUUUCUAGAUUGCAUUAAUAAUUAGAAAGGCCCAAUCCUAACCAACAAACACGCUACGAGGGUUUGUUUAAGCUAGAUCAUAUGCUCCCCUGACAUAAACCCAAUUACGCCAGUUGCUACUGAGGUAGAGAUAACGAACAAUUACGGAUUCAAUUACCCCUAUUUAGCAAAAUAUCCUAUAUGAAUAAUUAAUUAUUGCGCACUAAUCAAUCAUACACAAGAGCUAUAACAGUUAAAAGCAGGAAACAUAUGAAUACCAAUAAAUGGAGGAAACAAUUAAAAUAAAUUCGAUCCCACAGUAAUUGUUGAACCAAGUCUUCAAUUGUCCCCUUGACUAGAAUUGAGAGGUUAGUCCUCCAUUAAUGGAGAACAACCAUGCGAAAAAGUUAAGAAAAGAAAACUAAAACUAUGCUAAAAACUUAAACUAAAACUAUUGAUUGAUAAGAGUUCUCAGUACGUUUGUCUCCCUUUUUAAAGCCAAAAGGAAGUCUAAUGCUAUCUCUAGUGGUCUCCACACCAAAUUCAAAGUCUUGUACGUUUCUUUUCCUAGAGUCCAAAUGACUCAUGCUUCUUAUCCGUGGUCCCCACACAUGUGGACAAAACCUCCAAAGUACUUGUUGUUCCAAGUCUCUCUACGUUGCUUUCUUUGAAAAGCCCAAAUGACUAAAUGCCUUGCACUAGCUUGUGGUCCCCACCAAUUCAAGAGUCCAGGGUCCUUAGAAGUCUCCAUUUUCCCAUAAAAGUCCCUCCUUUUUGGUAAUUUUCUGCUUUGUUCCUGAAAUUAAGCUCCAAUACCAAAUAUAAGUAAAUAUUAAUAAUUAAAACAAUAUUUGGCAAGAAUAAAAGGGGAAAUUAACAAUAAAAUUACUAACAAUUAACACCCUAUCAGGACUCAUGUCUCAUAUUGGACUUUAGUCAGGAGAACUUUUUGUAAAUUCUGUUGUGUGUGUUUUUUUUAUCACUGAUGAUGAAGUAUAUUGUGGUUUUCCUAUUUAGAGUUUUUGUUUACCUGAACUAUAGGUUAAUUAGUUUUUGGCUUGGUAGCGACAGAAUCCACCAUUACUUGAGGGGACUAAGCAUUUCUUGGUGACAUGAGCUUCAGUGCUUUGUUGAGGUGCCUUCCUAAGCUCAUCAAAUGGAUUAGGGGCCUUGCUGUCUGGUUCUUAACAAAAGUAUCUUUAUCAAUGCAAUUCUAUGUUGAUAAAUCAAUAUUCAAUGUGAUAAUGAAUAUUGUUGUAUGCAAAGAGAUUAAGAGUAAUGACAUUUUCAGAAUCUCUUUCCUAUACCAACUUUUCUUGCCAACCCUGGAUUGUUAAAGUUGUGAACAUGGAAAAAAAAUGGUUCGAUGUUUUUCAUUUAGUAAUUGAAGGGGCUACAGAGCUUCCGGCUGGAUAUUCUCUUUACAUCAAGAAUCUAGAAAGCAAGAUUUUGCUCAUCGUUGAGAGGAUUUCAAAUGCAAAUUUGUGUCCAUACUGUACAAUGGUUAUAAACCACACAUUAGUUUGGGGGACCAGUUGAGUAGUUUCAAAUUGUUUGCAGAUAAUACAUGCUAAUUGCUCAUAAAUUACCCAGACAUUGAUUUUAAUUGGAGAAGGAGAAGAAGGGGUGAAACAAGUGAGGUCAGGUCUGUGGGCCUUUUAGUUUUCGGUGUUGGUUUGGUUUUAAGGAUCGGGGUCAGUGUAGGUAUCUCUAUUGAUCGCAAUUGCUUUUUCUUUAAAAAUUCUGUGUUCUUCUUUUUCAACAUAUACUUUUGCCUCAGUAUUCCAUAUCAGCCAAUGACUUCCUGGAUAAAAUUAACCAAAAAUAUGGCUGAAAGUUUUGCAUUUGAUUGCAGAUAUUGGACUUAGUUUUUUUUUUUUUUUUGGUGAUCCAGAGGAUAUGCUAGCCCCCCACACUCGAGUCACUUUGGACCUGAGGUGACACACCAAACCAGAGGAUAUGCUAGCCCCCCACAACGUACCCAGAUUAGACGGGAAUUCAAGUCUAGAAAAAAAUUUGAACUCAGGCCUUUGUUCAGUUCAAGAGCCCGCUUUACCACUAAACUACCCCUUGAAGGCUAUUGGACUCGGUUUUCUUUUGUGUAUACAAACAAAAAUCUUCGCUAAAGUUUCUGAUUUAUCCGUUUCUAAUUGUGAUUAUUCAAUAUUAUCUCUGUUUAAUUUUAGGAUGCUCAAUAAUAUUUCACAUUGAUAAAUAAACACAUUAAGCUCUUAGGACAAUAUGUUUUUGCUAUAAAAAUGUUGAAUAAUGUUAAGAAACUCUUUUGCUUUAAAUCGACUGGUCUCAAUUAAAGGAAUUAUACUAAUGUUUUUUCAUUUUGAUCUUUUCUUAAUAGAGAAAACUUGUCAUUUGCUAACAAGUUUUCUUUCCUCUUGUUGUAUCUUGUGGUGGGAGCAAUUAAAACUUUAAGGAUAGUGUUUGAUCUUGUCUCAAGAGUUGUUCAUUCUUCCCGUUUUAUUGUGAGAUUUUUGUUUAGAAAAAUUUCUGCACUUUUAAUGUGCACUUAUAUUCCCUCCUCGCUUCGGAUUGAAAGAAGGAUUGGAGCCAAUCUUACUUACCAAGAAUGCAGGCGUUAUUUUUUCAUGGUUCUGAUGACGUAUGGGCAUUUAAUCCAGAAAAGGAGUCCGUCUUGGACAUUGACCAGUUACGAACAAAACCCAGAAACUUCUCAAUCCAGUACCAUGCUAUGCUUCCGUGUAUGUAACUAUGCAUGUUGAAAGUUUAUCUUGGGUGAACUUUAAUCCCUUUUAGUUCUUUGCACUUUUAGACUCCUAGUACUUAUUCUAGUAUCUAUUGUAAUUUCAAGAUCAGGGCAAUGCGCAUUACCUAUCAAGUCAGGGUAUGUAUUGUAUUGAUGGUUCUUAUAAAUUGCCUAUCAAUAACCCGCCAGUCAACAGCGGAUUCAAACCUAGUGCUCUUAACACAAGGGCCAAUUUUCUACCCAGUUUAGCCGCAUGAUGUUUUAGAGAGGCACCCAAUUGGCUGUUUUAUUGUGGAAUUGAGCCUAGUUCUAUUAACAAUAUAUUGGGUUUUUCUGCAUAGAUUGUGAACGUAGUUGUGUGUUAGUCUAUAAGUGUGAUAACCUCAAUUCUUGAAGAUUUGAACUACCUUUUAGGGUGAGAAACCUCGAUAACACUAAGAGUGGCAUUAAAGCAUGAUUAAAACAAUAUUUUGCUCUAUUAAACAGCUAGCUUUUCUCAUAUGAUCAGGUUGAUGAUCAAAUCUCACCUCAGUUCGGAUUGACAAACGUGUUGGAGCCAAUCUUUUUUUUUUUUUUUUUUUACCAAGAACGCAGAUGUGUUAUUUGACAAUGUUUGGAAUGAUGUAUGGGCAUUUAAUCCAAAAUAGGAGUCAGUCUUGCAUCUUGUUAAUUGAAUGGCCAGACAAAAGCCGUAAUAAACUUCUCAAUAUAGUACUAUAAUGCAUUUGGAUGUGUGUUGGUUGAAAGUUUAGCAGUCUUUUUGUGAUACGAUUCAUUAGAGGCUAAUUUAGAGCUUUCGGUGAAACUUAAUCCUUUUUAAUACUUCUCACUUUAUUGAAAUUUUUUAUGUAAUUUUUAUCAUUAAUGAAAUAAUUUUUUCUUUAUAAUGGUCUCAGCACGCAGCAACCAAUUGGCUGCGCCAUUGUGGAAUUGGGUAUGGAAUAUUUAUGAUCAAUUAUUUGGGUUUAUCACACAGAAGUCGUAAAAAUGUAAGGUGUUAGUUUAUAGGUGUGUGUAAAGAGGAUAUUGAUUACAAGAAGUUACCAAAAACAACUUUGACACAAUUUUAUCCUUAUGAUCAAGUCCAACCAAGAGUUCGAUGUCUGGGACCUGGCACAAGUAUACAACAACUUAACCUGAUUAUAUGUUCAGAUCUCGUAAUGUAGCCAGUUUCAGUGAUACACUUGACAAGUUUCCAGUUGUCUGGUUCGCUUAUUUAGACCAACCAAAAAUGGAAGAGGGGCAGGAACGGUACCGUUCCUGUCAAUUUACGGCCAAGAUUUGGCCAAAAAAAGUUGUACGAUCCAGAUUUCAUUUUGUAUCUCGAUUUUAAUAAUAUGUGUGGGAUCUAUAAAAUUUUGUUCUAAAAUUACACGUUGUUAAAAGUAAAUUACACUAUAUACAAAUAAAGUUAUGCCAUGUGCAAAAUGCACAUAACUGCUAGGAACGGUUGCACCUGCUCCUGGUCCACCAAAAAUACUCAUCUUUGAAAUUCGUGCUACCAGGCUAUGUCUUGUCCAUCAGAAUAGUAGAUGGAUUUUGAUCUGUGUUUUAAAACUCGGACCGGAUCAGCCAGUUCGACCAGUCGAAUUGGCCGGUCCGAGUUAUGCUAAAAAAACCGAGUAAGUAAAAACCCGGUCAAAUCCGGUCAAAAACCGGGUUUGACCAGGAAAAAACCGAAUUUUUUGGUUCAAUCAGCAUUUAAAAAAAACUCAAACUUUUUCAAUAUUAUGUUUUGACCCCUAAAUUAUUAAAAAUUAUUAAUAUAGCUCAAAUAUUUCAUACUUUAUCAAUGUUUUCUUAAAGUUUAGUGUUAUUUUUCAAUUAAAUCCAUAAUUUUAAUUCUAAACUUGUUAAUGCUCAUUAAAUAAUAUAAAUUGCUACUUGAUUGUUCUAAUUUCUUUGCAUUUUCUUGUUAAAUAUAUUUGAAACAUCAAAUAUAUAUAAAUGAAUAUACCUUUAUUAAUAUUAACAUGUUAUUAGGUAUUUUACAUAUAAUAUUUUAAUUUUUAAAUAAUUUUUAUUUAUGACGUCAUUAGAUUCAACCCCUAUUGAACCCGGUUGAACGCAUUAAUCCCUAACCCCUGAGCUUGACCGAGUCGAUACCUGGUCCGGUUCUGAAAACAUAGAUUUUGAUUAUAUCCUAUGCAACGGUAGCUUGAUUUGAAACUGAUACAAUUCCAAUCCUAAUAAAGUAACAACACAGCCUUGAUUUUUUUUUUAUGGGGGAUUUGUUGUCAUGCCCUUUUAGUUUACUAGUAAUACGAUUCAAAUAAAAAAAAAGUUUAUUAGUAAUAUGUGACGUGCUUUGCACGUGAAUAUAUUUUUUGCAAUAUAACAUUUUUUAUAUACUACAUUUUUUUUUGAUAAAUUUUGAUUGUUAAUAUAACAUAUUCUAAGAAACUUUGAUAAAAUUUUGUAAUUGCCAGCCAUACAAAAUGUAAGCAUAUAAAAAAAAUUAAACAUUUGUCUUACAUUCGACCAUACAUUUUUUAAGAUGGAAAUUUAGCUAAGUUAUUGUCUAUUUUACUAGAGUUGCAGUAGAAAGUACGGAUUAAUUUUUCUGCAAAAUAUAAAGAUUUAUCCAUACGAGCAAUGAAAGAAGACGAAUCCAAAGUGAAUUUAGAGGGUGCCACUUUUUUCUAAGUAUUGAAAGCCCAAAAUCUUUCCCGAAAUUUGAGACCGCAUGCAGCACAAUGAGAAAGACGUUUCUACUAGGGGCGUGAAUCGAAAUCGAAAUCGGUAAUUCGGAAUUUUGAAAUCGAAAUUUUUUGAAAUUUUGGUAUCAGAAUUUUCGACCGAUUUCGAUUUUGAAUUCACCAAUUCCGAAUUCAUUAAAUUCUGAUUUCACCGAAUUCAUGAAUAUAAAAAUUAUUAUUAUUAUUAUACAAAUAUUAUAUUACAUAUAUAUAAAAAAAUAUUAUAUAUAUGUGUGAAAACGAAAUUGAAAUCGAAAUAGGAAUUCCGAUUUCACCGAAUUCAUCAAUAUAAAAAUUAUUAUUAUAAUAUAAAUGUUAUAUUAUAUAUAUAUAUGAAAAACAGAUUUGAAAUCGAAAUCGGAAUUCCAAAUUCCGAUUUCGAUUUCGAUGGAAUUCCGAUUUCGAUUUCGAAUUGUGAAUUCGAAAUCAAAUUUCUAAUUUGAAAAAUUUCAUUACCGAAUUCGACCAAUUCGAAAUCGGAUAUUCCGAUUUCCAUUCCGAAUUACCGAAUUCAAAAUUGCAAAUUCAAUUCGAAUUCGGUCGAUAAAUCGAAAUUUUUCGAUUUUGCACAGCCCUAGUUUCUACGAGUAUUUCAAUUUAAGUAUUUAAUAAGUUUAAAUUAAUGGCGCGACUAACGGUUGCCAGUUAGCAAUCAUUUAGAGAAGUAGUAUACUAUUAGGCGUUAAAUUUUUUUUUAAAAUAUAAUUUAUUUGGAAUAGUGUUUAAAUGUAAGGGGUACAAUAAUUAUAAUUGUGCAUAUGCAAAUAAUAAGUUAGAUAUGUAGUUUAAGUAUUAGAAUAAUUCUUAAACUUGUAUAUGAUAAGUGAUUAAUUUAUGUAAUUAUUGUAUGAUAUUUUAUAUUAUUUUUAGUCACUUUGGUUAUAUUAUUGGAAGAAUAUGAAUCAUUUUGGCUAUAAUUGGUAAAAAAUGCUUUUAAGUGGUUAAAUGAGGUUUUUAUCACUUUUUACUUGGAUUUUGUGUAUUUUGACAGUUUUGACACAUUUUCGUAUUUCGGCUAUAACUUGAGCUACAAUGAUCGGAUUGGGAUGAUUCUUGAACCCAUUUGAAGAUAAGAGAUAGAUCUACAACUUUGGUGAAGACAUCCGAAUCCAGUUUGAAGGUUUUCCAGGUCAAAAAGCUGAAGUACAAAGUCAAUUGCUAUUGGUCGAAACUGAAACAGGGCAAUGAGCAGACAAGGGUAUUUCAGUCAUAUCUCAGCCUACACAGAUCCAAAUGAGGUGAUUCUUGAUGCAUUGGAAAGAUAACUCAAAAGUCUACAACUUUCGUGUUUUACACAUGAGCUGGUUCAGCCUCUAACAUCAAGAAAAGAUCGGUUGAAGUUGGGCCAAAAACAGAGCAAGUGAUCCACACUCGGAUCCACUAUUCAUCCGAACCCUCGGCUGUUUCUGGGUUAGUGGAUCCGAGGCACUGUAGCAGCUCGGAUCACUGGUCAGAAAAGGCUGCUUUAUACGCGUAAAACUCAAUUUCACCUCCACCAACUCACAUGUGAUGCUAGACAUGUGAGAGACAUUACCAGCUGUAAGGAGAAAGUGUAAAGCUUCAUUUCUUGACCACCUUUCAUCAUUAAAUAGCCAAAUUCAUUGCAAGAGAGAGGAUCCAAGAAGAGAUAGGAGAGAUUGGAGUUCAUAGCAGAGCCAAGAAGAGAGCAAGAGAGACAUACGGGAGAAAGCUUGAAGCUGCAGAAAUGUAGCUCUUUCAUCUUCCUAGUGUUAGUUUAGCUUAGUAUAGAGUAGUGUAGCUUUUCCAUUCUUGUUUAUUAUCUAGAUUAGGAUGAAGAUGGAGGAUGAAGAAGGCAAGGAAGAAAGCUCAUGUGACAAGGGUUGUAUUCCUUCCAAACUCUUUAUCUUUUGUAUUUGAUUCCAAGUUUAGUUAAUAUACAAGUUCUGGAUUUUGUGUUCAUUAUGUGUUUCUAAAGUUUAUACCUUGGGUUUGGUUGAACUUUCUAUGAUUGUUAGUGUUAAUUGUUUGGUUAUUUGAUUGCUACGAUUUGAGCAAGUUAUUUAGCACUUUGGCUUCUUAAAUCAUGAUUAAUCUGGUACCAUUGAUUGUGAUUAUCUAAGGUGUUGUUUCUGCAAUGAAAAUUGAGAUUUAACACUAGUUCAAGAGUGCUAAACAUAGGGAGUACACUCACGAAAGUAGAGGUGCACUUAUGUGGUUUUUAGUGAUUCAUUUCAUGUAAUUUCAUUGAAGAAAUGAACUUGUAGCUAAUUUCAUAACCAUGAAAAUAGGUAUGGAUUAGUUAUGAGUAUAGUUGAUUCACUACGAAAGUAGGUUUCACAUGUUUAAGGAAAUUACACCAUAACUAGCCUAAAUGUAGUAAUUAAUGAUCCAAAUAUAGCACUUGCAUGAGUAGUUAGGGAUACCACAACCUAAGGAGCUUUUAUUUGUUAUUUUGUAUAAUUUCAGUAGGUUAAAUUUCUUAUAAUUCAUUGAUAGUCUAAAUAAUAGAGAAGCUUUAGUAAUACCGGUAAUUGUUCACUCUUCCUUGUGGGAUCGACCCGAUAUAUACCCUAAACUACUAGUUGACCUGUAUACUUGCAGUGAACGGGUGUAAUUCGGUUUUUUAACUUGUACGUAUGUAAAAUACCCGUCAAGUUUUUGGCGCCGUUGCCGGGGAAGAUUUGGCAAUAUCGGUGUGAAGAGUAACUUUAUUAGUUUAGACAUAAUAUUAGUUAUAAUGUGAAUGUUAUUUUCUGUUAUUUUUGUAUUUUAUGUGUGUAUGUGUUUCAUUACCUAUUUUUCUUACUAAUUUUGCUUUUGAGAUUGUUUAAAAGCAAUUUUAGGUAAUGAGAAGGGUAGGUCAAUUUGGAGGACAAUGCUUGAGAAGUGGAAGAUUGGAAAUGGAUGGUUACCAAGUGCAAAGCUCCUUCAAUAGAGGUAACCAAGAAUUUACUGAAUGUAUGUCUUUUGAAGAUGGUUUAAGGUGCUUAAAGGCUAAAUUUGAUUUUAUGAUGUUGCAAGUUCAAAUGGACGCAAUUAUGCAUGAAAUUGAGCAAGGGAGGAAUGAUAAUGCUUUUAAUUCUUAUCAUGUGAUUUGUGACUUGUGUGGAGAUUAUCAUGCUACUAAUACAUGUAUGCAAGCACAAAAUGUGUAUUAUUAUGAUGAAUUAGAGCAUUACAAUCCUUGUUUUAAUCAAUAUAGUGCUAAUUGGAGCAAUUCUCCUGCUUAUGGUUGGGAUGAUCAAUGUACUUAUAGUGAUUAUUCAUAUUUUUAUGAUUACCAACCUAAAAGUGUCCAAUAUGAAUCAAAACCAUCUUGGGAGUUGGCAAUAGAGAAGUUAGCUAAUGCACCUCUGCCUUGGGAGUUAGAAAGUGAACCAUUAGCUAAUGAUUCUAAUGCAUCUUGGGAGCUAGCUGUAGAAAAUUUUUCUAAUCAAUUUGAUUUAGCAUUAGAAAAGUUAGUAAAUGCAACUUCCGAUCGUUUUGAUAGGAUUGAGGAAAGAAUAGAUGAAUUAGCUUCUCACUUUGGUCGAAUACAUGAGCAAUUGAGUGCAUUGUGUGAAGUUAUUUCUUCUAAUAAAUUGCAAAAUGAUCCUAGCAUGAAUGGUAGGAAUGUUGUAUGUGAAAAUGGAUUGCAUUUUGAUGAAAAUGAUGAAUCUCAAUUGUGUUUCAAUGAGCAAAUGUCCAUUUCACAUGAUAAUAUCUUUGGAACUAACUUUGAACCUCAAGAGGUGAGUUUUAAUGACUCAUUUUUCAUCCCUCUUGAGGAGUGCAUUGAAAGUAUAGGUUCUAAAGGUAUUCCUGCUCAAGAUACUCUCAUGGCAUUCCCUUUGGUAAGUUCUCAAGUGGUGCAUAUUCAAGGUAAUAUCUAUGAGCCACUUGGGAUAGGUAAGUCACUUCCAUUUCUCACAUCAUUAGAUCAUGUGGCUUUUGCUAUAAAGUCACCAUUUAAUGAUCCACCACGACCAAAAAUGGUGGAUUAUUCGCUAACAAAGCCUCCUUGAAAAAAUGAGGAGAAAUAGUCAAGCUAUUGACUUUAAAGAAGCGCUUAUUGGGAGGCAACCCAAUGUUUGUUUAAGUUCAUGUUAUUUUGGAGUGAUUUUAUGUUUAAAGUAUGAGUUUGAGUUAUUUUGCUAUUUUUCAUUUGUAGGUUUUGAAAAAGUGACCAAAUGAGGUGAAAAAGGCGAAGUUUGAUCAAAGAUCUCAAUACCUCAAAUUCAGUAAUUAUGGUUUUUGAUGCAUUAAAGAGGUUUAGAAUGCAUGUUUAGAUCAUUUUGCAUGUGCGUGAAUGGUUUAUUUUGACAUAGAAAUGAUCUAGGGUGUAUUUUGAAGAAUUGAGGUCAAACUGAAAAUUGCAAAAAUUCUGCAAUAAGUGCAGAUUCAAUGGAUCCAAGGCCUCGGAUCCACUUCUGCAAUCAGAGAAAAACUUCGAGCUUCUUGAUCCGAGCUCGGAUCCAUAUGGAUCCAAGGCCUCGGAUCCACUUCUGCAAUCAGAAAAAAUUUGAGCUUCUUGAUCCGAGCUCACUUAUCAUGAUCCGACCUCGGAUCCUUUCAAAAACGACCUCGGAUCCUUUCCAAACGAAGCCUCGGACCACUUUUCUUCAUUCUUCCCUCUUUUUCCUCCUUCAACUCCACUUUUCUUCUUGUUGGUUGCAAGCUUUUAUUCUUAAGAAUUGUAUUUUUGUUUUUUUUUUCAAGGUGCAUUAAUUGAAGUCUCCAUUCUUUCAAGUAAAGUUGGAAAUUCAUCACAUUGCCAUGGAUUCGGAUCGCGCAAGUUCAUUAGGGGAGUAUUACUUUCUCUUAUUUUCGUUAUUUUUCCUUUCUCACAUUGAGGACAAUGUGAAGUUUAAGUGUGGGGGAGGAAAAUAUUAAACUUGCAUUUACUUGCCAUGUGAUGAUAUUUUGUGGAUAUAAAUGCUUAGAAAUGUUGGAAUUGUGUUUGAAAUGUUUGCCAUGUGGAUAAUUUGCUUGAAAUUGGGUUUGUUGGCAGGGAGUUUUCUUCCAUUUAUAAGGAGAAACUCUGUAAAAAUUUUUCUAAAAUCUUUUCCAAUAUUUCACUAUGGCCCAAAAGUUCUUCAAAUUCUUGCAUUCUCAUUCAAAAAAGGGCUAAUUGUUCCAACCUUAUUCUUCCAAUUGUUGAAAUGUUAUAUGUAUUUUGGAAGGUUUAGUCCUCAUUUAACUUGGAAAUUGUUAUUACGCAAUUAGAAUUUUUACAUUUUAGAAAGUAUAUUUGGUAAAGUGAGGAAAAUUAUGCCUAUAAUUUUACAUGUUUAAUGAGAUUUCUUCUCUUUACUUAAUUUUGCAAGUAAGUGAUUGAUAUAGUCGAUAAAGGUUAUAUUCCUCCUUUGAUUAUUCUUAUAUAUUUUCUAAGAGGGGUUAUCUAUUUAUUGUCCUUUAUUUCUGAAAAAGAAAAAAAAAAGUAAAAAAAAAAGAGAAAGUAAAUAAAAAUUGUUCUACUCCAAUGAUUCAUGUACCGAGUAACCGGGGGUUGGCAUCAACAAAUGUCGACAUUCGCGUAAAAAGGUACUUGAAUUAAGAGUAUGCAUAGCAACUUGAAUAAGUGAAACGUUGAGUAACUGGGGAUCUUCACCUAAAAGUGUCGAUUUUCGCGUAAAAAGGCAUUCUCACUAUUUAAGUAAAAUUUGUGUGAAUAAAUCCCUCUUAGUUAUAGAAUUUUGAGAAAAAGAUGAUUAUAGGAGGAGGAAAGCUAUAAAUUGACUAUGUGAUUUGCUUAUUUGUAAAAUUAAGUUAGGGUAAGAGAUUAAGUUUAACUUGUUGAAUUUAGGGUAUAAUUAUCUUUCCUUUACUUGAUAUUAUGAGUAUUUAGUGUAAAUUGAAUAAUUGUAUAAUGAUUAUUUUCCAAGUCUUGAGGAAUUAAAUUGGACAAAGUGCAUAUAUUGUUUCACCUCUUGAAUCAUUGCAUUUGAUUAUGUGUGGAUUGCUUGAGGACAAGCAAUGAUUUAAGUGUGGGGGAGUUUGAUAAGUGACUAAUUUACGUAAUAAUUGUAUGAUAUUUUAUAUUAUUUUUAGUCACUUUGGUUAUAUUAUUGGAAGAAUAUGAAUCAUUUUGGCUAUAAUUGGUGAAAAAUGCUUUUAAGUGAUUAAAUGAGGUUUUUAUCACUUUUUACUUGGAUUUUGUGUAUUUUGACAGUUUUGACACAUUUUCGUAUUUCGGCUAUAACUUGAGUUACAAUGAUCGGAUUGGGAUGAUUCUUGAACCCAUUUGAAGAUAAGAGAUAGAUCUACAACUUUGGUGAAGACAUCUAAUCCAGUUUGAAGGUUUUCCAGGUCAAAAAGCCGAAUUACAAUAGCAAUUUCUACUGGUCGAAACUGGAACAGGGCAAUGAGCAGGCAAGGGUAUUUCGGUCAUUUCUCAGCCUACACAGAUCCAAAUGAGGUGAUUCUUGAUGCAUUGGAAAGCUAACUCAAAGGGCUACAAGUUUUAUGUUUUGGUCAAGAGCUGGUUCAGCCUCUAACAUCAAGAAAAGAUUGGUUGAAGUUGGGCCAAAAACAGAGCAAGUGAUCCACACUCGGAUCCACUAUUCAUCCGAACCCUCGGUUGUUUCUGGGUUAGUGGAUCCGAGCUCGGAUCCAUACGGAUCCGAGGUAGCAGCUCGGAUCACUGGUCAGAAAAGGCUGCUUUAUACGCGUAAAACUCAAUUUCACCUCCACCAACUCACAUUGGAUGCUAGACAUGUGAGAAACAUUCCCAGCUGUAAAAGGGAGAUGUAAUCCUCAUUUCUUGACCACCUUUCAUCAUUAAAUAGCCAAAUUCAUUGCAAAAGAGGAGAAGAGAUAGGAGAGAUUGGAGUUCAUAGCAGAGCCAAGAAGAGAGAAGAGAGACAUACGGGAGAAGCUUGAAGCUGCAGAAAUGUAGCUCUUUCAUCUCCUAGUGUUAGUUUAGCUUAGUAUAGAGUAGUGUAGCUUUUCCAUUCUUGUUUAUUAUCUAGAUUAGGAUGAAGAUGGAGGAUGAAGAAGGCAAGGAAGAAAGCUCAUGUGACAAGGGUUGUAUUCCUUCCAAACUCUUUAUCUUUUGUAUUUGAUUCCAAGUUUAGUUAAUAUACAAGUUCUGGAUUUUGUGUUCAUUAUGUGUUUCUAAAGUUUAUACCUUGGGUUUGGUUGAACUUUCUAUGAUUGUUAGUGUUAAUUGUUUGGUUAUUUGAUUGCUACGAUUUGAGCAAGUUAUUUAGCACUUUGGCUUCUUAAAUCAUGAUUAAUCUGGUACCAUUGAUUGUGAUUAUCUAAGGUGUUGUUUCUGCAAUGAAAAUUGAGAUUUAACACUAGUUCAAGAAGUGCUAAACAUAGGGAGUACACUCACGAAAGUAGAGGUGCACUUAUGUGGUUUUUAGUGAUUCAUUUCAUGUAAUUUCAUUGAAGAAAUGAACUUGUAGCUAAUUUCAUAACCAUGAAAAUAGGUAUGGAUUAGUUAUGAGUAUAGUUGAUUCACUACGAAAGUAGGUUUCACAUGUUUAAGGAAAUUACACCAUAACUAGCCUAGAUGUAGUAUUCAAUGAUCCAAAUAUAGCACUUGCAUGAGUAGUUAGGGAUACCACAACCUAAGGAGCUUUUAUUUGUUAUUUUAUAUAAUUUCAGUAGGUUAAAUUUGUUAUAAUUCAUUGAUAGUCUAAAUAAUAGAGAAGCUUUAGUAAUACCGGUAAUUGUUCACUCUUCCCUGUGGGAUCGACCCGAUAUAUACCCUAAACUACUAGUUGACCUGUAUACUUGCAGUGAACGGGUGUAAUUCGAUUUUUUAACUUGUACGUAUGUAAAAUACCCGUCAGUAUACAACAUCUCUAUGAUGUCAAAUCAAUUUUCAAGUCAAGGAUGAUUUUAUUGAACCAACUCAGUCUUUGACUGAGUCAAUUUUCUGGUCAAAACAACUUAUCUAAAAUCUUGCUAAGUACACAAAAGGGGCUAAAGUCAAUUUCACUGCUAAAAGUUCUUCCUUUUUCUUCUUUUCUCAAAACCCUCACUCUUUUUUUUUUACCCGUACGAUCAAUUCACUACUUCAAUUAAAUGCUAUAUUCCAAGUACCAAGAAAUCAUACAUAUAUUAUACAAAAUCUCUCUCUUAUGAGAGCUCCUUUCUCUCUCUAGUAGAGAACUUUUUCCCCCUCGUGGGUGGUUAAACAACUUUAGCCUCCAGAAUUUAAAUUUCCCAUAGUUUGGCUGGUCAUAUCUCCUCACAUUGCGAGCCAUAAUCUUAAGUGAUCUGUUCGCGGUGAUUAACAAUGGAUAAUUUUCAGGAUUCAAUCACUUUGAUUCUGGUUUUGAUCUGUGGUACCUGAGUUUUCCUAUUCGUAGGAGUCUUAUAGCGGUAGCAUCUUAUUAACCUUUAAUUGCGAAGCUCAGCUUGCGUUAGGUUGUGCUCAGAUCUUUUUUAGUAGUUUCAUUUCUUUCUCUAGUACUCGUGUCUAUUCAGAUUCAGUGAUACUCUUUGCUGUUGAUUUCGGUUUUCAAUUUCUAGUGGUAGAUCGUCUGCUUUCUGGUAGCCGUUUCUGCUAACUGUUUUUGCUGUUUUUCUAGCUUCAUCUCGGAAUUGGAGAGCUGAAGUUCGUGGCCUGUGAUUUGCGGCGAGGUUCCCUGGGUAUUGCAUCAAUGGCUGAGGAGCUGGAAGAAGUGUUGAGGAAAUUUGAUUUGUCAGAAAAAGAGGUGGCAGGCAUUCAAAUUGAAGGGGAAGAUACUUUCCAGGGAGUGGAGAUCUGUCGGAUGAGCAUUAUUGGCAAAGUGAUUGGGAAAAAAGUGGCAAAUAUCAUAGGUAUUAAGAGCUUUACCAGUAAUAUGUGGAUGUUUGCCAAGAACGUGAAGGUUGUAGAAAUAGGAGUUAAUUUGUUUUAGUUUAUAUUCAUAAAUCAAAAUGAUAUGGACAGAGUUUUAAAUGGGAGGCCAUGGGUGUAUGAUAAUUUACCUCUUGUUGUUAUCCCUUGGAAGGAGGGAAUUGAAAAAGAUGCUAAAGCUUUUAGUAAAACUUGAAUUUGGGUGCAGAUCUAGAAUCUCCCAAUCCAUUGGAUAACUAAAGAAAUUGGUCGUAAGAUAGGAGAAGUUUUUGACUUAGUUAAAGAGGUCAUCAUUCCUAAUGGUGGGGGUAAAGAUGGUAAGCACUUGAAAAUCUUAGUGGAAAUUGAUAUUGAACAACCAUUGCUAAGGAGAACUACGGUUAGGAUGAAUGGGGCAAUGAAAUGGAUUGAGUUUAGGUAUGAGAGAUGUCCUGAUUUCUGUUAUUGUUACGGGAAGUUGGGGCAUAAUGAGAAAAAUUGUAAAAUGAAAGGCAACUAUCUGGAUAGGGAAACACAAUUUGGAGCCUGGAUGCGAGCUAGUAAUGCUAGGAGUCCAAAAAAAACAAAAUAAAACAGAUUCAAAAUAUGAAGGGGAUGCUGGAGAGUUUAUUAGGACUAAGAGUAAUGGGAAUGUGGUUAACAACUUAUUUUUGACAUGGGGGGGAGGUGAGGACACCUAGAAUGGGCAAGAGGGGAAGGGAAGUGCGAGCAAUACAAUGUGUAAGGGAAUCCUCCCAGAGGAUGAUGCUGUUGAACAACACAGGACACUCUGUGUGGGGAAUAAGGGAGGAGAGGGAGUGGGGGGACAGGUAGGGGAUAAGGAAUCAGGUAAACACCUGAAGUUGGGAAGGGAGUCCUCAGAUUUCAAUAUAGAAGGGGAGGGGGAGCUGAGUUAUGGUAAGGGGAGAAUGGAACAAUUGGAGAAGGCAGAGGAUGACACUAUGUGGAUUGAUGGGGGGCAGGAGGAGAAAAGAAUGAGUAAGGGCAGGGGAAGGGAGGAGGGAAAAGGAAAGGGUACUGGAAAAUAUAAGGGUAGUAGGGGAUGGAGGAGGUUGGUGCAGGAAGUAGGAAGGAGAGUGCCUUUGGGGGAUAAAAACUCUGGAAUGGAGAUAGAGAAGGAUUCUGGGAAAAGGAAACAGGGGGACACACAUGGGAAGGAGAAUUAUGGAGAGCUGGUGAGGGGGGAUCAGAAAAAGCUUAAGGGGAUGGAAGGGGAUGUGGGUAGAGAGGAUCCUCUGAAGGUGGUGGAGCCCAACCUUAAUGGGGCUCCCAGCCCUCAAUGAGAGCUGUGGUGUGGAACUGUCGAGGUGCUGGGAGCCCCUUGACAGUUUCCCAACUUGAGGAGGUUGUGAGACUCCACUCCCCUGAGGUAAUUUUCUUAGCUGAAACUAAAAAUAAAAAAGAUGUUAUGAUUAAGAUGAAGAGGAGAUUGAAGUAUGAUAGUCUGUUUGUUGUUGAACCUAGAGGUAAGGCUGGAGGCUUGGCUGUACUUUGGAGAAAGGAGAUAAAAGUUAGGAGAGUUUUGUCCACUGAGUUUACUAUAGAGCUUAAUGUGGUAGGGAAAGGGAAUGAGGCAGAUUGGUGGUUUAUUAGGGUCUAUGCUAGUAGUACUGAUCAGGUAAGAGCACAUCAGUGGAAAGUUAUAGAAAAUAGAUCAACUAUAUGGGGUUCGAAUUGGAUCCUAGCAGGGGAUAUGAAUGAUAUUAUGUCUGGGGAUGAGAAAUGGGGUGGGAAGCUGAGAAGUGAGAAUAGUUUUAGAGAUUUUAGGAAAUUUGUUAAUGACAACCAGUUGAUAGAUAUUGGUUAUGAGGGGAUCCCCUGGACCUGGUGUAAUAAUUAGGAGGAGGAUGGGGAGGUCAAGGAAAGGUUAGAUAGAAUUCUGUGCAGUUGGGAUUGGAGAAGGGAGCAUGGUAAAGCUAAGUGUGUGCACCUGCAGAAUGAGGCUUCUGACCACUGUAUGUUGCUCUUGGAUACUGAGCCAAAGCACAGAACAUGGAAACAGAGGUUUUCCUUUGAUAAAAAUUGGGUGCAGCAUAAGGAGGUUAGGGGCAUUAUUGCUUCAGCAUGGGGGAAAUAGCAGAGGAGGUCUAGAGGUUUUAGGCUAAAACAGAAAAUUAAAGAGUGUAGGAUGGCAUUGUUACAAUGGAGGAGGCAUUACAAUGCCAAUGCUAAAACACAAAUAUGGAGGAUAAAGAAGGAAAUAACUGAGGUUCAUAGGGGACAGCAGGAAGAUAAAAAGGGUAGGUUGAGUACCCUGAAAAAACAACUCACUGAGGCUUACAGGUAGGAAGAAACUUACUGGGGGGCAAAAAGCCAGAGUGCAAUGGUUGAGGGAGGGGGACAGGAAUACUAAGUAUUUCCAUACGGUGGUAGAGGGGAGAAGGAAAAGGAACAAUAUAUCUACUCUGCAAAGGGAGAAUGGUACUUGGUGUGAAUCUGAGGGGGAGGUGGGAGAUGAAAUUAAUGUGUAUUUUGAGAAACUCUUCACAUCCAGUAAUCCAAGGCAGGUUGAUGCAAUACUCAGUGGUAUUCCUCAGGUAAUCACAGCUCAGAUGAAUAACAAGCUCACCAAACCAGUCUCUGAGAUGGAAGUCAGGAAAGCUGUUUUUUCCUUACAUCCCAAUAAGGCCCCUGGACCUGAUGGUAUGACCCCCUUUUUCUUUCAGCAUUUCUAGGAUGUAAUUAAAAAUGAUCUUAUAGCAGCCAUAUCUAGCUUCUUUCAUUCUGGUCAUUUACUUAAGGCUAUUAAUGAGACUAUUAUCACCUUAAUUCCAAAAGUUAAAGCUCUUAUUUCUGCAUCCCAAUAUAGGCCCAUUAGUUUAUGUAAUGUUGUGUAUAGAAUCAUUUCUAAGAUCCUGGUUAAUAGAUUGAAACCUUUUCUGCAACAUUGCAUUAGUGGUAAUCAGUCUGCUUUUAUUCCUGACAGACAAAUCAUUGAUAAUAUUGUGAUUACUCAUGAAAGUAUUCAUUGUUUAAAUCAUAGACGAACUGGAUCUAAUGACUUUAUGGCUCUUAAACUAGAUAUGGCUAAAGUCUAUGACAGGGUAGAAUGGCCUUUUGUAGUCAAGAUAAUGGAAAAAAUGGGUUUCUGUCAGAUUUGGAUAAAUUGGAUCUUUAAAUGUAUGUCUUCUGUUGUAUAUUCUUUUAAUGUGAAUGGUGAGAAGACAGGUUUGGUUAAGCCUUCAAUUGGUAUAAGGCAGGGGGACCCACUAUCCCCAUAUUUGUUUUUACUGAUGUCUGAGGGGCUCUCUAGCUUGCUGAAGCAAGCAUUGGGCAACCAUUGUCUGGCUGGAUUAAAGAUUGCCAAAGCUAGUCCUGCUAUUUUCCACUUGUUUUUUGCAGAUGACACCCUUAUCUUCUGUAGAGCUAGCAUUAAGGAGGCUGAACAAGUGAAAAGGAUCUUGGAGUUGUAUGAAGCAGCAUCAGGACAAAAGAUUAACACAGAUAAGUCAUCUGUGUUCUUCAGCAAAAACACUGAGGAAAGCAAUAAGGCAGAGAUCCUCAGAUUAUUGGGGGGAAUGAAGCAGGUGGACCAGAGUAAGUAUCAUGGACUACCAAUGGUGAUUGGCAGAUCUAAAAGACAAGUCUUCAAUUAUAUCAAGGAAAGAGUGAUGGGGAAGAUCAAAGGGUGGAAAGAAAAGCUGUUGAGCCAGGCUGGGAAGGAAGUGCUGCUAAAGUCUGUGAUACUAGCAAUGCCUGCCUAUGCUAUGAGUUGCUGCAAGCUGCCUAAGAGCUUAUGUCAGGAUAUAAAAUGGCUCGCUUUUGGUGGGGGGAGAGUGAGGGGAAGAGAAAGACUCACUGGGUGGAGUGGGGGAAGUUGGCUGAAAUAAAAGGGAAAGGAGGUUUAGGCUUUAGGGACUUGCUGGAUUUUAAUAGUGCCAUGCUAGCUAAGAUGUUAUGGAGAAUUCUGACACAGCCCAAUCUGCUAUUAAGCAAGGUGUUAAAGGGGAAAUACUUCAAAGGGGAAGCAAUUUGGAAGACGCAGAUAAAGGCAGGGGACUCUUGGAUAUGGAAGAGCAUUAUGAGUGCAAGGGAGGUGAUGGAAAGAGGGGUUAGGAAGAGAGUUGGAGAUGGCACAACUGUGGAUAUCUGGAAAGAUAGGUGGAUCCCAGGUGAAGGUACGGGUAUGGUGGCCACUUCAAUGCCUGCAGGCUGUAAAAUCCUAAAGGUACAUGAACUAAUUCAAAACGGAAAGUGGAACAGAGCAAUGAUGGAAACUCUACUUAGUGAGGAAGACUGCAGGAAGAUAGAAGGAAUUCCAAUUAGUUUAUGUGCAGGGAAGGAUAAGUUGGUGUGGCCAUUUACAAAAUCUGGGCAGUAUUCUGUCAAAACAGGAUAUAUGUUGGCCAGAUAAAUGAGAGGGGAAUGGAGAAGGAAGGAACAACAUGAGGCUAGUAAUAGUAGGAAUGAACCUAAUUCUAAAGCUUGGAAGGUGCUGUGGGGUUUAGGUAUUAAACAUAAACUGAAACAUUUUAUAUGGAGAUGUUUACAUGGUGUAUUACCAGUCAAUGAGGUGAUCAAAAGGAGAAUUGGUAGUGGGGAGGAUAAAUGCAGGUGCUGUGGGGAGGGGACAGAAACCUUGGAGCAUAAGUUCUUCUUUUGUAGACAUUCUGAAAAUAUAUGGAAGGCAGCUCCAAUUGAUUGGGAUGGGCUUAAAGAGUUUAGGCAUAGUUUUUGGCAUGGUGGAAUAGCUUGAUGGAUGCACAAGACAGAAUAGAAGGGAAGAACCACAUUGCUUUGACUGUGAACAUACUUUGGCAGAUAUGGAAAUCAAAGAACCAAGUACAGUUCAAUGAGAUGAGCAACUGCCCAGGGAGAACAGCAGGUAAGGCUGUGCAGGAGUGGGCUGAAUAUAAUGAGGUGAGGAAUGGGGCUGAUAAUAAGGAGGUAAUGGAGAAAGAACAGGGGGCAGGGAUUAGCAGAUGGUAUCCACCCCCUCAAGGCUUUAUAAAACUAAACACUGAUGCAGCCUUGGGUUUGAAGGAUAGGAGGAUUGGGUGGGGAGUAGUGUCCAGAAGGGAGGAUGGGGAGAUUGUGGGGGUUUGGGCAGGGGGGGAGAGCAGAAAUGGUAUCCCUGCAGUUGAGGAGGCCUUAGCUAUCAGAAAAGUUGUGAUAAAGGCUAAACUAUGUGGCUGGAACAAAGUAGAGAUACAAUCUGAUUGUAAAUUACUGGUGGACAAGCUCAGGGGGAGGGAUGUGGAUGAUCCAAUCACGGGGACUAUUUUACAUGAUGUUCUGAUUUUAAGCCAAGAUUUUGAUACGUGUCUUUUCUCUUUUGUUAAAAGAGGGGGCAAUUGUGUGGCUCAUAAGUUGGCAAAAUUUGCCAUAAGCUUGUAUGAUGAAAUUAGUUGAAAGGAUUUCUUUCCAAUUUGGCUUAAUUGUUUAGCCAAAAAUGAUGUAGGAGCAGUUGCUCCAACAAUGUAAUUUCCACUUAGCAAUAAAUCUGUUAUCGUUUGGAAAAAAAAAAUAAAUGCUAUAUUCCAAGUCAGGAGUGACCGUCACCAGCAUCAUUUGUUGUCAUCUUUAACAUUGUUGUUGUCAUCACCACCAUCAUAAUCGUUCUCAUACUCGCUGUUGUCAUCAAUUGACAGUCAUCAUUACAAGUCAUUGAUUAGACAAUUUUUCUCAUUCCGUAAGUAGUCACUUUUUUAAUAUUAUAAACUAUCAAAUUAAAUAAAAUCUCAAAUUUAUCUUGGAUUUGUAACUAAUCUAUUUCUUAAUUUGUUUUUAACUAGGAAUUUUGGCAAUUUUAAAAAGCAAAUGAUAAUUUUUAAAAUUAAUGAACAAUACCCUCUACCCAAUUCUCAUUUUUCCUUAAGUUGUGCCCUACUUUGUAAAUAUUAACUUCUACUUUGACCUUAUAGGAAAUUUUCCCUAAACAAAUUUAGAAAGGAAAAAAGAAAUAGGAGAAAAUAAUAAAGUAAUAACUAAAUAAGACAUUGAGACUUUCCAAUUGUCUUCCCUUCCCUAACAAUUUUGUUUCGUUCUUUAAUUUGCUGGCAUAAUUGUUUCUCCAAAUUCAGAUUUUCGCAUCCAAUUUACAAUGGAAUCCCCAAAUUUGCCGGAGCCAAACCAAGUAACGGAUAAAAAAAAUUAAAUUGCCCAAAAUCCCAAAUCAAAUAUUCCUGACUUCAAGACUACCAGUACCAGUAAAAUCAUUGUGUCGAUUCAAAUGUGUGUAAGUAAGUCAUGGCAGUCUCCAAUAUCUGAUCCCAAAUUCAGUCUCAAAACCAACGUUUCCCGGGCAAUUCUCUGGAGUGGAACCAGCCCAUUUCUAUACUCUGUGAACCUUGAUCUUCUUGCUGCAAACGUCCUCAACCCAUUAGCAGAAAACCCAUGUUCUCCUAAUCAAAACCAACUAAUUCUUGGUUCUUGCAGCGGCUUCAUACUCUUCAGCUAUUCUACCUCAAUAUACCACUACAAGAAAAAAGGCAUUAGUGACAACAUUUCCUAGUGAUGACAAAAAGUCGUCACAAAAUGAGGUUGUUUAAUCACGACAUUGAAGGUUGUCACAAUUGACUCAAAGCAGCUAAGUUUUCAGUGACAACCAUUAAUUGUCGUCACAAAACUACUUCGCGCCAUGGGACUUGGAAGGCGGGAGUUUUGCAAUAGUGACAACUUGAUAAAAGUUGUCAGUAAUUCUACCUCUUUCUUUGACAAUUUUUCAUUGUUGUCACUAUUUAUGUUUAUUGAAUACCAAUUUUUGUCAGUAAAACUAUAAUGUAGUUAGUGACAACAUAGUAUCAUCACAAACUUGAACAUCUCCAAUGCAUUUAUUUAAUUGUGAGCCUCAAUAUUAAUUUAAUUUUUUUUAAAAUUUAAUAAUUUAUUAAACUAGUCAUAGUUACUCAAAUAAUAAUAGGUUUUUAACUGGAAAAAAUUAAUGAAAGUUUCUAACUAGAACAACUAUAUAAACUAUUACAACUUGAAAAAGAGUACAUUUACCAAUUGUUCGAAUUUAGCAAAAAAUUUUCAUCCAUUAUAACCUUUUAAUAAAUAUGUUAAGAAGUAGUGAUUAGAAAUAUAUUAGUAAAUUUAAAUAAAAAUUGAAGCUAAAAAUUGACUUGGAUUGCCUUGAUUGACUAGUACCAAAUAUUUGUUCAAGCUAAACAUGAAAAAAGAUCGACAAUGUCAAGGCCAAAAUCCAGGACAAGGAGGGGCAUCCCCCCGAAACCAAUAGCACCAUAUCUUCAUCGGCAAGCAGCUGGAGGACGGCCGUACCCUAGCCGACUACAACAGCCGAAAGGAGCCAGAAGAAGUCCACCAUCCACUUCUUCCUCCACCUCCGUGGUGACGCAACACCAAGCCCAAGAAAAAGAAGGCAAGUUUACCAGAAGGUUGGCGGUGAUUGAGGGAACUCUAGACUAAUUGUGCAUUCAACGCUGAAGGGGAUCGAUGUGCUCUCCACCAGCUCUCAGGUAGGUCCUCUUAUGUCUCUCCUUGUUUCCCUAAUUUUUUCCUCAAUUAAUUUGCCCUAAAUUUUUUCCCCAAAUUUUUGGCAAAAUUUUUACGGUGCCUAGUUUGAGUCGUGGACUCCUUCUAGUAGAACUGUUUGAUCUAUAGUUGCAAUUGCUUAAGUUAUUUUUGUACAACCAUGGGAUGUAGACUUGAUCACCCAAUUCUAUAUGUGAGUCAUGGUGACAAAAUUCAAUGGGUUUAUGUGCGGGUGCGGUUUUGGCUUGGGACUAGGUGGGGCAAAAGUUGAUGCCUAAUUUAGGUACGAUGUUGCUAUGAGUGGCUGCUGGCGAGAGAAAUAAUGGGUUAAAUGGUGCUGGGUGGAGUGGGAAUUGGGGAGUGAUUAGUUGAUUAUCUAUGUGGCUGAGCAAAGAGGUAGCACAUUAAAGUUUAAUCUUCAAAAUUUCCAGAAAGCUUCAAACUUUGCUUGAAACUAAGCUAAACCAGAACAACCCAUUAAAGUACCUACAGAAACGAUUCUUGAAAGGGGUUCUUCGAAAUUAUUUGGAUUUUUAUCAAAAAUCAAAGCAAUAGCUACUGGCUCGUUGUUAAUGAGCUUUAUUAAUUAGUAAUAGUACUAAUAAUAAUAUUUACAUACAUGCUAUACAUGCUGUUACAAUUAUCCAAUGAAAUGACAUAGAAAAGAUUUGAAAGGUAGGAGGUGUGAUUGGAUGAAUUGUGUGGUCUGUUUGAAGCUUUGGUCUUUUCUGGUAGACCAAAUAUAUAGGCUGAAGAUAUCUAUAAUUAUAGCCCUAAUAUACAUAGGAAAAGAAAUACAAAUAUAUGACGAUAUCUAUAAUUAUUUUCCUAAGUAGCAUGCUGGUCAAUUUGAUAUUUGUGAUUGUUUUCAUGGUCAAUCUAAUUAUUCUACACAAUUGUAUGGUGGCCAUGCAUGCUAUAUGAUAACAUCAUGAUUUCUCCUUAAAGUUUUAGUAAUUGUUUUUCUUUUUUUGACUUCUAGUUUAUCUCAUGAUUAACUAAUCAUACAAGUAACUUGAAACCUAUUAUAACUUAGAAAGCAUCAUUCUAAGUUAUGAAUAUGGAAUUCAUUCCAGCAUGCUACUUCCAACUUUGAAUUGUACUCAUAUUCCCUUUUCAUAUAUUGUUGAUUUGGCGUGCUACUUAUAUGCAUAUAAUUAUAUAAAUCAAUAUAGUGUGGAUUAGUUUCAGGUAGAUCACAAAAAUUACUUUAUUUCUCUUAGAUUUGAUUGAUAUCUUAUUUUUUGUAGCAAUUGAAGUUGUUGACAUAGGCUUAGGGUCUUCCUCGGAUAUUCUCAUUGAGUUGCAUUUUUCACUUUGAGGUACUUUACAGGCACUCUCCCUCAGUCCUUUUUCUUUUGUUUAGCAAUCAUGAGUACACUUUACUAGAAUUUUUGCUUUGCGAAUGACCUACAAAAAUGUACUGCUGUUCACCAGUACUAAUGUUUAUUUAAAUUAUAAGCAUUGAGUUGUCAUCUGAUGAUAACGCUGAUUUAAUAGUACAUCAUGUUCAUAUUUGUUUUACUUUUAGCACAUACACCUGAUUGUGAUCAAUUUGAAUGAUAAAAUUUGUGUUUCAUUACUUUGGAGUUUCUUUGUUGCUGUUUGCAAUGAUUAGUUUCCCCAAUUUAGUUAUUGUGCCUUCAUUAAAAUAAUCUUGGAUGCAUAUAUCUUUAUGUUAGGAUACAAGACAAAGAAAACAUGGCUAGGAGUUGGAUGAUUAAAAACUACCUAGAUCCCAAAUAUUUAGAUGGAGUUGGAUGUCAAUUAAAACUUUUUACUGCCUCAUUAAUCUAAGGCUGUUUAUGCCAAUAAGUGAUUCAUUGAAAAGGAAGGAUAAAAAAAUCAUGAAAAUUUUCCUUAUGAAACUAAGGUGUCUAUUUAAUUUUGUUGUUUGUUUUGAUUUAUUUGAGUGUCAAUUUACAAGAACGAAUAGGUAGUCUUUGUGUAUCCCUUUCUUUAUAGAUGAAUCCAAUAAAGACUAUUUGUAUUCGUCUUGUGCUUUUAAUUUCAUUCUCAGCUGUGAAAUUAGUCAUGUACUAUUAGAUUAUAACAGAUUUGUCCCUAGUCAGUCAGAUUGAGAUACGAAUGCCACUUUGGUUAGUAGCAUCCCUAGAGAUUCUGUUGUGAAUAAGAUUCUGCAGCAUGAUUCUAAUGCGAUACUUGCCAAGUUUGCUACCUUGCUGUCAUAAACAUGUAAAAUUGCCAGAUAAUCAGGAAACAUGCUAAUUCGGUAGCUUUAGAUUAGGGGAUUUGUCUGGUUCUAAUGACUUUAUUAGCCUAUUGUAAUCUCUCAGGUUUCUAGAAUUCCUGAGAAAAUGAGCGAGUGUGGACUUUAAUUGUAUCAAAAAGUUUGCUAUCCAACAUCACUAUUAUUCCCUUUUUUUGGUGGUGUGAAAGACUUGGCAUUAUCAUUGUUAAUUAUCACUUUUAAGUUUCAUUUCCUUAUGAUAUUCUAGGAAGAGUUGUCUUAUGUGUUUUUUUGUAAUGUUAAAUGACGUAUUGAGACUGAUAGAAUAGAGCAUUUCCUUAAAGAUGCAACGGAAUGAUCUUUUGACCAGGAUUUUUGUAAGAAGCUGGCAUGGCUUUUCAAGCAAGCUAGGAACUUUUUGUGCCUUUUAAUUGUUGGAGAAGAUCAAUUUGAUGAAUUUCUUAUUCGAUGAUUACUCCUUCCUUUGACAUGCUAAAAUUGCUACCAUUCUAAAGGUCAUGCUAGAAAACCUGUUGUAAAGUGGAUUGAGGUACUCUUGCUCUGCCUUCUUUCUAGACAGGCUAGUGGUCAAGUUGAGUAUUUUUUACGUGAAUAUUAACAAUACUUAUGUUACUGGAUGCAUAUUUAGGUCCAUAAUUAUAGAAAAGGCAAUAAAAUUACCUCUAUGAAGAUGGUUCAGCUGAUGCAACAAGAAAAUUAACCCCAAACCAUUUUUCCAAAAGCUGGCUUUUUGAUCAAGACGAGUUAGAAUUCCUAGAUGCCAAAAGGUGCUUCUUAUCAAUAUGCUUUUGCUUUUGUGUGGAAAUAUAGACAACCAGUAUUUGUGCAUGCAUCAACCCCAAACCAUUUUUCCAAAGAUUUUAAGCACGAUUUUAUGGUUAAUAUGUUUAUUUCACAUGCAAGUGCUUUCCUACUAGCAUAGUCUCUCAAAAAGUCACCUUUAGAUCUGGUUGGCGUGAUAAGAGGACAAAUUUCUUGGCUACAAGUUGAUGAACUAAAAUUUUUUUGUCUCGUAAGAUGCAACUUUUACAAGUUGUUAUAUUUAAUUAACUCAUAGAUUUUAACAAUGUAAAACAUAUAAUAAAUAAAUUCUAACAAAUGUGAGAUAGCUUUAAAGCUGAUAACUUGUGUUCCACUCCUUUGUUCCAAAUGGAUGUCCUAGCUAGAGUCGGCUCUACUUUUAAAUGAACUUAGAUAACAAUAAUGUUUGAAACUUAAAUAAGAAGUGGGAAACACAUGGAUUGCAUUAUGAAUUGAAUUUAAUAAAUGGAGAAGGUUGGCUAACAAGUAGUCAAUGGUAAAAUUGAGAAAAUCGUUACCACUCUUUUUCUUAUUGCAUGGCAUUAAAUGCAAAGUUAGACAUCAAUUUAUCGUGAGCAGGGAGUAAGUUGGGAUCUUAGUAGAUCCACAGAAUCUUUAUAUUGUAUACGAUCAAGUUUCCGAAACCUUCACAAGUCCAGCUGGGUACCCUUUCCUUGACUAACUUUUAUGUAUAGAACUCAAGUAUGUAGAAAUUUAUCAGGAAUAGAGGUGUUUGAGGACACUUUCUGAUUUGAUUGUAUUUAUUGAUUGUCUUGUUUGUAAAGUCCUAGGAAGGCCUUGUUCCUUCAAUGGCAUGUUUUCUCUAUCCUGUCAUGAAAAGUAUGUACAGCCAUUUGCUAGCUAUGAUUUCUUGCAUAUCUCUGCUUGUAGUUGGUUUUCUAUUACUGUUUUGAGUGUGUGUGUAAAAUGAUAUCCGAUAAUUUACUAUUCGAGUUAGAGAUAAUAUUCAGUCAAAAAAUUCUUUGUUAGCUUUUGGCUCCAUGACUUUGUUAGGAAGACAUGUUAAGCCACUCCGUGAAAAGCUAGUAAUAUUUUUGUUUGGCCUUGAGUAGUUUGUUAAAAAGGUAUUGACCUCACUAAUACUUAACUAGCUAACUUCUAAGCUAAUUUGGGAUAUUGUCCUUGUUAUGUUAAUUUUCUGCCUUAUUUGUUCUCGUCUUGAUUAAGAUUCUAAUCGUGAUUGAGUUUUGUUGUAGGUAAAUAUAAGAGAGUUUAUUUUUUUGCUCAAGCUACUUGUUACCUACUAAUUAUUAUACUACUUUAUGCAGACUUGUAUUGCUUGUUCAAACUCUUUUGGCCUCUAAUCCACAGCUACUAAUUGAUUGAAGAACAAUGAAGACAAAGUUGUGUUUUGCUCUUGAAGUGUUUCGGCAGUAGCUGCUAGCUAAGUUUAGGACUUAGAUUUAUUUUUGUAAAGCUGUAGCAGGAUGUUGAACUUAAGUAUGAUAUUUUGGCAUUUCGAAUGUAAUGGAUGUCUUCUGUUUUUAAUUAACAGGCUUUGUUGUUAUUUUUCUCAAUUCGUAAAUUGAAUUGUUGGAUUGAUUAAUUCCAGUAUAAUUUUCUUUAUCAAACUACACGGUUACAGUAUAUUGUCACUAAUUAGACUUCUCCACUGACAAUGAAAUGUUGUCACUAAUUAGUAUCUCUAAACUUAAAGCCUACAGUGAUGACAAAAAGUUGUCAAUAUCACGUCUAUUUUAGUGACAAGCGUGAACCAAAGUUGUUAGUAAUUAGUCAAUACAAGCAACAAUCAUCAAGAAGUUUCAGUGACAAUGUUACUGGGGCCAUCAAGGGGCCAUCAAGAAGUUUCGUUCUUCUAGCUUCUAUGCCUCGCUACCUAAUACGGAUUUUUUUUUUUUUUUUUUUUUUUAAAUUUCAUAAAACUUUUAUUGAUAGUAGCAAAAUUUUACACACCGAGAAAAACUAGUUUGAAGUACAGCAAUCAACUAAAAGGUAAAAAUUCAAACACAAAACCUCCGUGUCCCAUUCAGCCACAACUAGCUUCAAUUGUGUUUUGUUGUCAGCCCUUCAUACGCCUACUUUUCCGAAUUGAAGGCAUUCCUAAUCUAUCAAGGCGAAGUGCCCCACGUGCCAUAGUUGGGAAUGAACUAAAGGCCUCGUAAAGCUUGAUUUGAUGCUCUGGAUGCAAUACUCCCACGUUGGACAGCGCAUCUGCAACUUUGUUCGCUUCCCUGUAACAAUGUGAAAACCGAUCAGGGUCUUUCACAAACUGCCAAAUUUGCCUAAUCUCUCGGCGAAUCUUCCAGGGGCACUGAAUGCGAUUCUGAAGAAUUGCAACUAAUAUCAAAGAAUCGGAUUGAACAUAGAGAUUAUCAAUACCCCUAUGUACACAAGUUUGAAGCCCAAUAAGGAGGGCACGAGCCUCUGCACAUAGACUUGUAGUUUCCCCAAGAUAUGUCGAAAAGCCAAUCAAAGGUAUGCCAUUUGAAUUCCGAAGAACCCCACCGCCUCCACUCACUCCUGGAUUACCCUUGGAACAUCCAUCCGUAUUUAAUAUGAACCGAUCAGAGUUCUUUGUUUCCCAACGAACAAGUUUGUAAAUAACCCCAGUAUGAGAAGAAUACGACCAAUCAUACAAAUGAUGAAAUGACUGGGCUCUGAACACUUGUUUGAACUGAAUACCCACCAUGGUCUGGAUCUCCAAGAAAAUGGCAUGACAAAUGGCAAGCGGCCUCAUCUGGACAUCCUCAAACAUUGCUUUAUUUCUUGCUUUCCAAAUUUGCCAACAAACAACACUGGGUAGAGUGUGUCCAAUGAAUCGUUGUAUCUCAGAGUCGUGUGAGCUGAGCCACCAACCAACUAUACGGGGCCUCAAAGAUGACCCUGGAGAAGACAAACCACAAGAGGCUCCAAAAUAAUUCCAAACUGUCGACGCUACUUGGCCAUUAGAAAACAAAUGUUCGAUUGAUUCCUCAGAUGCCGAAGAGCAGCAAAAACACUUUGAGGGUAAAUGGAAACCAAGUUUGCAUAACUUAUCUGGAACUGGCAGUCUCCCCAGCAUCAAUCGUAACAUGAAGAAUGAAAUUUUGAAAGGGAGCUGAGGAUGCCAAAUUGUAUCAAAUACCAUAGACUUGUUACGGGCUUGCCUAAUAUCCUGAAAUGCCGAAGCUAUAGAGAAAUUUCCAGAUGUUGUGGGCAUCCAAAUGACUUCAGAUUCACCUCCUUCUUCUGGAAUUGGGUGAUUUAAAAUAGAGGGCACCAUUUCUAUCGGCAGUGUCUGAUAUAACAAAUUCACAUCCCAGUGACCAUUGAUGAUGAAAUUACCAAAAGACAAAUUAGGGACAACGGUCGCUCUGUGGAACAAAGCACCACCUCCCAACCAGUUAUCGUACCAAAAAUUACAAGCCCCGUCUUUGGCAAUCCAUAGUAUUGAGAGUUCCACUUGUCGACUCACAUUGACCAUCCUUCGCCAGAGUGCGGAGUCCAUUGCCUUGAUUUCUACCUGACAAGGAUGGAGAUGUCUACAGUAUUUUGCUUUCAUGAAUACAGCCCAUAAAGACAAACCUUUUCUAAAAUUCCACCAAAGUUUGAAUGAGAAGGCUGUAUAGAUAUCUUGUAGCUUCCGAAAUCCAACCCCUCCCUCAUUUACCGGAUAACACAUAUGGGACCAACGUAUCCAGUGAAAUUUUGAAUCCUCGGGUGAUGAACCCCAUAUGAAGGUCGAGAAAGCCUUUUCUAUAGUUCUAAAUACCUUACUUGGGAUAAUCGCAGCCGACAUCAGAUGUACUGGCAUCGAUGCCAAGACAUGUUUGAUUAGAACUAUUUUCCCUCCAAAUGAAAGCAUCCUUGAUUUCCAGGAUAUAAUUCUCCCUAGAAUAGACUGACACGCUUCUCCAAAAUAUGAUGAUUUGCAUCUCCCAAAAUAAAGCGGAAAUCCCAAAUAUGGAAUUGGAAAUGAUUGCCAGGUAAACUUAGUGGUGCGUUCAAUCACCCUUCGUCUUGCCGGUGAUAAGGAAGGAUGAACUAGGUAGCAACUUUUUAGCACAUUUAUUAGCUGUCCCGAACACCUUUGAUACGCCUCUAGCACCUGCAUGAUAACCUUCAGAGAAUUAGAAGAUCCGUUUGCAAAUAUGAGAACGUCAUCCGCAAACGCCAAAUGAGUUAUAGCAGGACAUCCAUACGGAACUUUGUAUCCCACAAAACCCGAUUGCAUGGCGAGAUUAUUCAAUCCUCUAGAUAAUACCUCAGCCCCUAUAAUGAAUAAUGCAGGCGAUAAAGGAUCACCCUGACGGAGUCCUCUUGUAGAUUUAAAGAAACCAUGAGAUCCCCCAUUUAUAAUGACCGACAACCAGACGUUAGAGAUCAAUCUCCAUACUAGAUCAAUAAAUAUUUCUCCGAAGCCAAACCUCCUGAGAACACCAAUAAUAUGAUACCAUGCCACCCGAUCAUAUGCCUUAGACAUGUCAAGCUUCAUUACCACAUUGCCUCCUCUAUUCUUUUUCCCAAUACCCGAAACCAUCUCCUGAGCUAGCAGAAAGUUUUGUGUUAUAUUACGCCCCUGCACAAAGCCUGUCUGCUGGGGUGAAAUAAUUUUGGGCAAAACAUAAGCAACUCUAUCAGCUAAGAUCCUGGAUAAUAAUUUGUUGAAGAAGUUGCACAAACUGAUGGGCCUAUAUUGAGAAAAAUCCUGAGGAUUUGGCAUCUUCGGAAUUAACACAAUGGAAGUAGAUGUGAUGAAUCGAGGCAACUCUGCCCCACAGAAAAAACUGAGUAUUGCAUUAUAAACAUCUUGGGCGAUAACUUCCCAGGCAAAUGUAAAAAAUUUGCCAGUGAAACCAUCUGGGCCAGCAGCACUGUCGCCAUCCAUUGAGCUAACGACUCGAUAGACUUCUUCAAUCGAAGGAACUUCUUCCAAUUUUUCAUUGUCCUCUUCUGAAAUUAUGGUUGGGAUUAGGUGCCGCAUAUCAGAGGAAGACUCCGGAGAGCACGUGAAUAGGUCAGAGAAAUAUGAUAUUGCCUCAGAUGCUAUAUCAUCAUUUGUGUCCACCCAAACACCGGUUGACUUUUUGAUGCGGUGUAUCAUUCCGUGAGCACGUCUCUGUCUUACCACCGCAUGAAAAUACCUUGAAUUACGAUCUCCGUGUUUAAGCCAUUUGACUCUGGCCUUUUGGCUCCAAAAUUGCUCUUCAAUUGACAAUGCAUGCCGCAACUCUGCCUGAGCCUUGCUAAGCUGAAUUUGGCAUUCCUCCGAUACAUAUUGAUCCAUAGCUUCCUCUGCGCGUUGGACCUCCAAUUCCGCAGAACGAACAGCAUCAAAUACAUUCCCAAAGUAUUGUUUGUUCCAAGAUUGAAUUGCCCUCCUCGUUGCCAAUAAUUUAGAGCACAGAACACGCAGUGGAGAACCACCCACAUCUUGGUUCCAAGCAUGGCGAAUUACCUCCAAGAGUUCGGGUUUGGUUGUCCAGACGUUCAAAAAUCUGAAAGGGCAUGGGGUAUGAUCUGAUCGGUCAGAAAAUGAAAUUUUCAACGGUGCAUGGUCUGAAGGGUGUCUAGGUAGGUGAAGCACAGAAAUUACGUUUGAGAUAUCCAAACAAGCCCCAUUGAUUAAAAACCUAUCCAACCUCUUUGAAACCCGAGCUCUUCCUCUCCUAUUAUUAGACCACGUGAAACUAGCUCCAGAAAAUCCUACGUCAAAGACUCCGGCAUCUUCCAUAAAAGACAUGAAUUCCAUCCCCUCCGCUAUAGCAAACGGCCGCCCCCCUCGUUUUUACGCUACCUAAUACGGAUAGUACGGCAUAUAAUAAUAAUAAAAACAAUAAUAAUAAUAACUACUACUAUUACUCCGUCCGUCCCACUAUGAUAGUCAUGUUUUUCUUUUUUGUCUGUCCCAACUUGUAGUUCACUUUUUAAUUGAAGAAUGUAGUUGUCUUUUAAUUUCUCUAAAAUACCCUUAUUUAAUGUAAGUUGUCAUUACUAUGAACUAUUUUAUUUAAUAUAGAUUGUUAGUAUUGAAUAUAACCUAUCCCAUUUAAUGCAUUUAGAUUUUCCAAAACAUAUUGAUAUAUGAAAAGCCAACUUUAUUUAAUGUAAGGGUAUUUUAGGAAAAUAGCAAUCUAAAUUUGUUUUUCAACAAAGUUAACUACUUUUUCUUAAACUGUGUGAAAAAAAAAUUAGGACUAUCAAAAUGGGACAGAGAGAGUAAUUUUUACUGUACCAAUUUUAAAAUUUUUUGUAAGGUAGAACUUUACAUCGGGGUGCACUUGAAAGAGAUACACAUUAUGACUACCUAACUUGGGGUACCUCGCACAUUAAAGCACCUACUCUAUUAUCGAAUGGAACUAAUAUAGAAUCCUUUUCCACCAAUUAAAUAUGACAAGACUUCAAGUAUGGUUAUCCUCUCACUCUCGACUGUAUGAUUGAUGAUUACGUGGCAAACUUUUGAGUAACAAUAUGAAUGACACAAUUCACAGUUGAGUUGAUCUGUCCUAACUUGGAUGUCUAGAUAGUAAUAUAUUAAAGGACAGUUGAUCAUCUUUAUAUAAACUUCAGCAUUUCAUUACUAAUUGGUGCAGCACAUAAGUAUUGGCUCAGAAUUUGCAGGUAUCAAUCCAAAAAAAAAAACACACACACACAUAGAGAUUUUCGUUCAAGUAAUCCAGGAGAUGUCAUCUUCAACUGAAGUGGAGCAAAAAGAUGAUCACUUUGAAGAGUUUUUCCAAAGGUUGCAACCAAAGAAGCCGAUAGAAGGGGGCUUGCUGGCUAAUUACCAAGGGGUUUGGUUUGAUGCAGAUUUACUUCAAGCUACAUUAACCUUUCAAAAGAAUUUCAAAGCCAAUGAGUCUGACAUUAUUUUGGCCACCAUGCCGAAAUCAGGCACCACAUGGCUUAAAGCCCUCACCAUCAGUAUUGUUAACCGCAACAAUCAUUCAGUUGAUGAGAGCCCUUUGCUCUUCUCCAACCCUCAUUAUCUGGUUCCUUUUCUCGAGAUGUAUCUGUAGAAAGAUGGUAAUAUUCCAGAUAUAGAUGCUAUGCCUUGCCCGCGAAUCCUUGCAACUCACCUACCUUAUCAAUUCCUUCCAAGCACCAUUUUGGAUUGUUCCAACUGUCGAAUCAUCUACCUUUGCCGAAACCCUUUGGAUGUAUUCACCUCUACGCUGCACUUUGUGCUGCAAAAUCGUUUUGCAUCAAGGCCAUUGGCGUCUCUUGAUGUACCUUUUGAAGAGUUUUGUCAGGGCAUAUACCCUUAUGGUCCAUUCUGGGACCAUUGUUUGGGAUAUUGGAAUGCAAGCUUGAAGAACCCUCAAAAAGUGUUGUUUUUGAAGUAUGAGGAUUUUAAAAAAAAAGUAUCACUAGCUCCGUGAAGAAGAUAGCUAACUUUUUAGGUCAUCCAUUUUCAGCUGAGGAAGGGGAAGCAGGUUUGGUUGAAGAGAUAGCAACGCUAUGUAGCUUCGAAAAUCUUAAGAAUUUGAACUGUAACAAAGAGGGGGAGAUACAAACUGUUUUUAGAGCUAAGCAUAAUUCCGAUAGAAGGGGGCCUGGUGGCUAAUUACCAAGGCGUUUGGUUUGGUGCAGAUUUACUUCAAGCUACAUUAACCUUUCAAAAGCACUUCAAAGCCAUUGACUCUGACAUUAUGUUGGCCACCAUGCCGAAAUCAGGAACCACAUGGCUUAAAGCCCUCACCUUCAGUAUUGUUAACCGCAACAAUCAUUCAGUCGAUGAGAGCCCUUUGCUCUUCUCCAACCCUCAUUAUCUCGUCCCUUUUCUCGAGAUAUAUCUGUACAAGGAUGGUAAUAUUCCCGAUAUAGACUCUAUGCCUUGCCCACGAAUCCUCGCUACUCACCUCCCUUAUCAAUUCCUUCCUAGCAGCAUCUUGGAUUGCUCCAAUUGUCGAAUCAUCUACCUGUGCCGAAACCCUUUGGAUGUGUUCACUUCAGUGUUGCAAUUCUUACUGCAAAAUGGUCGUAUUUCAAGCCCAUCGAUGUCUAUUGAUGUACCUUUUGAACAGUUUUGUCAGGGCAUACACCCGUAUGGUCCAUUCUGGGACCAUUGUUUAGGAUAUUGGGAUGCAAGCUUGAAAAACCCUCAAAAAGUGUUGUUUUUGAAGUAUGAGGAUCUAAAAAAGGAUAUCAAUAGCUCCGUGAAGAAGAUAGCUGACUUUUUAGGAUAUCCAUUUUCAGCUGAGGAAGAGGAAGCCGGUUUGGUUGAAGAGAUAGCAAUGCUCUGCAGCUUCGAAAAUCUUAAGAAUUUGGACUGUAACAAGGAGGGGGAGAUAAAAGCCGCUUUUAGAGCCAAGCAUAGUUCCUUUUUCAGGAAGGCAGAAGUUGGUGACUGGGUAAAUGUACUAACUCCUUCCAUGGCCAACCGACUUGAAAAAUUGUUUCAAGAAAAGCUUGGGGAAUCCGGGUUGACGCUGGAAUUCAACAGCAAAUAGAUCAUUAUGCGUGUUUCAUGUGAGAUUUCUCAUUAGAUUGUCAUGCAUGUUUCAUGUGGAUAUCUCUCUCCCCUCUUGGACUAGUUCAGCAAAUCUGAUCAACGGUUCAGCUCCAAAAACGACAAAACAAAAGAGAAGACCUAAUACGCUUAUCUUCAACUAUUUGUUGCUUAUUGCUGUGUAAUGGUUGUAUCAGUUACUUAUCAUUCAGUUGUUGUAUGACUAAAAUAUCAUAAUGCGUGCACCAAAAUAUCUUUAUCAUUUUGACUGGGUUCAUUCCCUUCCUUGCUUUUUUCAAGCCGAAAUGAUAAAUAUGCUCAUAGAAUCGUGCUCAAAAUGUUUCCUGAUAGUAGGACUAUUCUCAUUUGAAACUCCAAGAAAAAAGGACAAAAGAAAAUAUUUGGGACUUAAGUCACAUAAUGGAUUUUAGUCAGGAGAACUUUUUGUAAAUCCUGUUUUGUGUUGUUUUUAAUCACUAACGAUGAAGUGUAUUGUGGUUUUGCUAUUUAGAGUUUUUGUUUAUCUGAACUACAAGUUUUUUUUUUUUUUUUUUGGCUUUCGUGCUUUGUUGGGGUGCCUUCACAAGCUCAUGAAUAAUCUGUUCAACCAUGUUACCAUAUACAUCAACAUAUGUAAGUGUUCUUGGGGAUUAAACCGUUCACCAUAUGUUUCCAAUUUUGACUUUGACUCGAUUAUCUCCUUUUCUUACUUUUCCAAAUGCAAAUGACGUCCUCACAGAAUUGUAGCUCAAAAUUUUGUGUCAUAAUGGUAAACAUCUCAUUGGAAAUAUGAGUGACUCAGUGCAAUAAUAACUAAAACUUCAACUAUCUAUUAUGUCAAGGGGAUGGUCUCUCCAAAAUUAUAAAGGAAAUAUAGAAAAAUAAAAUUCCGGGAGAUGUAAAUUUUCAUCCUUCGAGAUACUUGUUUUUUUGGAGCCAAGUUGUAAUACUAGUAUUUUAUAAAAGUUUGUACAAAACCAAUGGUCUCUUAAACUGUUGACCACCACAAAGACCUUUAAGUGUCUUUGUGGGGUGGGAGGUCAAGGUUCGACCCUUAUCUCCCAUCACUUGCCACUAAUAUGUGGCUUCUUCAAAUCCAAAUGAGUGUAUAUUGCACUUGUCUGAUAUGAUGAUAGUUCAGUUCCCAUCAAUUUUCCUUGAUUCAAAUGGAUCCUCACUUUAAUAGGUUAGUGUAAGUGUAGGAAUAGUGUCAAUUGACACACAAAAAAAAAAAAAAAAAAAGGACGAAAGUUUGUACAGGAAACACAAAUAGUUGCUUAACUCUAUAGCAAUAACUCUAUAUUAGGGUUUUAUUUUUUUGGGGUAAUUAGUAAUUCAGUAUCUGCCCCAUUUGAGCCAUUUAUUGCACCAUAUGGUUACUAGUAGCAACCGGUGCUCAGUGUCAAAAUCAAUUGGCCAUUAGUGGAACAGUUCAAGAGCUUAUUAAUGUUAUUGGAAGCCAUCUAUUGCACCAUGUGGUUACUAGUAGCAACCGGAGGUGCCAUUGGUCUAAAACUAUGUGUGAUAAAGAAUUUGAGUUUUUAUCUCAAAAUUAAUUGACCAUGAGUGGAAUAGUUCGAGAUCUUAUUAAUGUUAUUGGAAAUUCUUAAAAAAUUGAGGCAGGAUAUUUAGUUUAUUAACACCCCAUUAGAUGUGACUUGACAAAUGGACUUAAGCCAAUAUAGAAAGAACCAAAUCGCCGGUGAAACUAUAAACGAGGGUUAUGUUACCCUCUUUAUAGUUGCGUUUGUUUGUUAGGUUUUGCAUUCGUCUAUUACCCGUUUAUAGUUGAGUUUGUUGCUUUGGCCAUACACUUUUCCUUUUGCCUAAAUUUGAGUUUCACUUUUGCAUUGUCUCUUUCUUGUUUUGGGAGACUAGGAAGUUUGUUCUAAUCUCUGUGUUCUUCUUCGUCAUAGUGGAAUUUGCUCACCUCCUCCCUUGGAUGUAAGUCUAAUUGACCAAACCACAUAAAUCUUUGUAUCAUUGUCUUUUAUUAUUUUUCUCCACAUUUUAUACAGCCUUCGUUAUUAGUUUUGUGGAUUGUCAAAUCAACUUUUCCGAAUUACCUGUGGCCGAAUCCUAACAAAUUGUUAUUAGAACAGUUAUCCCGAGCUAAGUUUUUUGACAAUCGUUGUGACAAUAAUGACAACCUCUAUUGAAAAAUUUAAACAAAGUGUCAAUUUUGGUUUGUGGCAGUUUAAGAUGAAAGCUUUCUCAUCCAAGACAGAGUAGAAGUAGUGCUGCUCAAAAAGGAGAAAAAUAUAGAAACAAUUACAGAUGAGCAAUUCGAAGAAAGGAUAAUAACUCUCUCGGUAAUUAUUCUAACCCCUCUCUGGUGAGGUUUUGCAUGAAGUUGCUCAAGAAAAGACAACCAGAGACUUGUGCGAUAUAUUGGAGCUUUUGUACAUGGGGUUUUGUGUGAAGUUACUUAAGAAAAGAUAACCAAAGACUAGUAAGAUUUUUUGGAGCUUUUGUGCAUGAAGAAGACGACGGUGAAUUGGCUCUACUUUAAGCAAAGUUUAUAUAUGUUUCAUAUGUCUAAUCUUUUUUUCUCUAUAAUUUUUAUAAUUUUGCAUCUUAAUAAAUUUGAUUUCAUUAUUAUAAAUUUGGCAAAUAUAGAGAUUACAAUUAUGGAUGAGGAUUAAGCUCUGUUAUUGUUGUGGUCUCUACCCUAGUCAUUUAAGCAUUUUAGAGAAACAAUGCUUUAUGGUAAAGAUUUAAUUUCUUACACAGAAAUUAAGUUUAUCCUUAAAUCUAAAGAACAUAUUAAUAAGGAUAUUAUUGGGAAAACUAGAGAGAGUCAAACAGAUGCCUUGUUUUUUCGGGGUAGUUCCACGCAUAAAAAUUCGGUGUGCAAACAUUGUUGCAAAAGGCACCAUUUAAUCUCUAAAUGCAUUAAAUUGAAAAAGAAAGAAAAUCUUAAAGAGAAAAGUGAUUUGAAAAUUAAUGAAACUGUCGAGGCUAGUAUUGUGGCUGAUGAGGGUGAUGGAACUAUUCUUUUUCUUUUCUUUUUUUUUUUCAAAUGAGCUAUACCAUUAAUCUCGAAUGGCCAUAUGAAACUAUUAUCUUAGCAAGUGAAAAUAAUUUAAAGUCAAACAAUGAGUAGAUUUUAGAUUCGAUUGUUCGUAUCAUGUGCCUAUUAGGGAUUGGUUUUUAACAUAUGAAUCAAGUGAAAGUGGAGUUGUUUUAACUGCCAAGAAUGCAGUCUGUAAAGUUGUUGAUAACAGUUCAAAUUAAAAUGCAUGACAGUACCAUUAGGAUGCUCAUUGGUGCUAGAUAUAUUCCACAUUUGAAGAAAAAUCUCAUCUUUGGGCACCUUUGAGUUUAAUGGAGGUAAGUACGCAGCCGAAGGUGGAGUUCUAAAAGUCACACAAGGUGCUCUUGUUGUUACGAAGGUGCACAAGUCUGAUACUUGAUAUAUUUUGAAGGGAUCUACUAUUCCAGGUGCUGCUGUUGUUUUCACAUUAAUUUUGCCUGAUUCCAAUUUUAUCAUGUGCUGUUGAGACUUUAAUGAUUUUUUUCCCGAUGGAAUCUAUUGAGCCGUUUGUGAUUUUUGACUCGUUGAGAUCCAUUGGAACUUUCAUGAUUUUUCACUCCUUGGGAUCUAUUAAGGCUUUUGUGAUUUUGGCUGUCUAUUGGAUCAAUUUGCUAAAUCUUUUUUCGUUUUUUGACUCGUUAGAAUUUAUUAAAACUUUUAUAAUUUAUCUAUUGAGAUCCAUUGAUACUUUUGUGAUAUUAGCUCGCUAUGGCUCCUAAGAACAAGGUGGAACAAGUUUACUAUUUUUUCGAUUUUUUAUAUAUCGGAUGCAAAAUCAAGGUGGAGAUGUGUUAGCAUUAAAUAGCAUGCAAGUGGCUUUCCAUCCUCCAUGUCUUUUGGUCAGAUGAAAUGGGGUAAGAAGCUAAAUUUCCACCGUCCCAUAGUAGUAGCUCAACCACUAAUAUGAAGGCCAAGUUUUGUUUUCCUUUGAAGUCGAAAAUCUGCAAUAAUCUUGGUUCAUAUAGUGUACAAAUUUCAGUCGCAAUUUUGCCUAUAAAAAGAGGGACUUCAAAAGCCUUGGAUUGCACCACACUACAUUGCUUAAACCCCGAGAGACAGACAGCUCAGGGAGAUUUUUCCAUUUGUCUCAAUUUAUAUUUCUUUUUUGUAUUGUCUCUUUCCUGUUUUGGAAUAUGUUUUAAACUUUGUAUACUUCUUUAUUGGAAUUUGCUCACCUCCUGCUGUAGACAGGUUUAAUUGACCGAACCACGUAAAUUUUUAUUUCUUUGUCUUUUAUUAUUUUGUUUACAUUUUAUUAUAAUUAUCGUUAUUACUUUUGUGGUUUAUCAAAUUAACUUUAACAAUCCAGGUUGGAUUCUAACACAUGAGAUGUCGAAUAUCUGUAAAAUGAUAUCUUCAACCGAAGUGGAGCAAAAAGAUGAUCACUUUAAAGAGUUUUUCCAGAGGGUACAACUAUAACUGUCAAACAAACCCAUUUAACUAAGUUUAUACAUACUCGUCCAUAAAUAGAUGGGUAUGGGUAUCUUAAAUUUUUCCAUAUGGAUAUAAAUGGGUGACCCAAUAAUACCCAUUUAAUAAUAAAUGGGUAUUAUUGAGUAACACAUCAAAUCCAAUUAACCCAUUUAGAAUCGUCUUCCCCCAAACCUCCUAUCUUCCCCCACCCAUUUUUUUUUUCAAAAUUUUCAUUUUGUCAUGAUGUUAACUACUUUUGUUACAUUAUUAUUAUUAUUUGUUGAUUUUAUCUUAUCAUUUUAUUUUCUCUUAGUUUGUUAACUUGCUCGUUUUUCAGCAUUACUAAUUUAUGACAAGUUUUAACCUCUUUUCUUAUUUUUCCAAAAUGAAAAUUUAAAUUUACACACGAAAAAAUGUUAUAAGUUCAAAAUUUUGAGAUUAAGUUUUCAUGUUAACUUUUAUAGUACUUAGUUCAAAUUUUUAUAUUCUUAUUGUUUAAUUAUUAAAUAGUAUGUAAAUUUGCAACAUAGAGUACAUAUGGGAAAAAAUUGAUAAUUAGGUUUAUUGAGCAUUAUAAAUAAAUAUUUAAAACUAAUGAUGGGUGCAAAGGAUGGUAUAAAUUGAUAACUUAGUUUGCAAAUAUGAAUUUAAAUGAAUUUACAAAAAGUUAAAAUAAAUGAGUUAUAAAUGAGUAAUUGGGUUACCCAAUUCAUUUUUUGACUUACCUAUUUAUACUCAUCUAAUAAAAUGGGUAUAAAUGGAUUGACUCACUUAUACCCAUUACCCAUUUUACCAACCCAAACCCGCCCUAAUCGCCUAUUUUGACACCUCUAGUUGCAACCAAAGAAGCUUGGAACAGGGGAGCUGCUGGCUAACUGUCAAGGCGUUUGGUUUGGUGCAUAUUUACUUCAAGCUACAUUAACCUUUCAAAAGCACUUCAAAGCCAAACAUUGUCACUGAUUGGACCUAAAUGAAAUAAACUUGAAGAUUUAGGCUAGAAAGUGUUUAAAAUUAAGAGUUUAAAGUGCAAAGUAUCCAGAAUACAAAUGUAAGAUACAAAGUGAAAAGGCAAUAAAAGUUUAAGGGUAUAAAGUGAAAUUAGUCCAAUUAGGAUUAACCCCUGAGCAAGUGCCAACACUCAACUUGUAAGGUUGGAGCAGGAUCCUUUCUUCUAAUAACAGGCGCGGUUUUCUCCUAUCUUAAUUUGCAAACAAUGACUUCCUUGGACCUUGUUUCAUUUUCCUGGUCAUUUUACGCACUAAGCCUGGCAAAUCUUAGUAAAUGAAUUUUUUAUAGGAAAUUCGUUCAAACCGUCUCGUAUUUUGCCAAAUAAAUUUAUUUUUCCUUUAUUUUUAAAAAUGAUAACUUUAUAUUUCUUGAAGUAUUAAAGGAUAGCCUCUAACUAGUAUCCAGGGGCGGAUUGAAGGGGUGCACUGGGGGCACAGGCCCUACUGCUUCCCUUAAAUUUCUAUAACAGUUAUACAAUUUUGACAUAAUUGUAAAGGUGCCUCCAAAGAUUUUUUAGAAAAAAUAUGAAAGAAUAAGUCACAAAAUUUAUAUCAUUCACUUUUCUCCUCUGGUCCCCCAUUUCCCCCUAACAAUGCCAAGUACCAAUUAUAUCAGUCUUUCCUUUUUGUCCCCACUCCUCAAGUUCCCUUUCCUCCUCUGGUCCCCCAUUUUCCCUUCACAACCGACGCCCCUCUUUCUUCCCCCAUUUGUACUUGUUGGUGAAUUUAUUUUUUAUUUUUUGCUUAAAAAAUUAGAAAAAGAGUAGAUAAAAAAUUUUAGUAUUAUUUUUGCUCCCACUAAGAUUUUUUUUUGGCUCCGCCCCUGCUAGUAUCUAUUAUCGUUCUUCUAGCUUCUAUGCCUCGCUACCUAAUAUGGAUAGUACGGCAUAUAAUAAUAAUAAAAACAAUAAUAAUAAUAACUACUACUAUUACUCCGUCCGUCCCACUAUGAUAGUCAUGUUUUUCUUUUUUGUCUGUCCCAACUUGUAGUUCACUUUUCAAUUGAAGAAUGUAGUUGUCUUUUAAUUUCUCUAAAAUACCCUUAUUUAAUGUAAGUUGUCAUUACUAUGAAUUAUUUUAUUUAAUAUAGAUUGUUAGUAUUGAAUAUAACCUAUCCCAUUUAAUGCAUUUAGAUUUUCCAAAACAUAUUGAUAUAUGAAAAGCCAACUUUAUUUAAUGUAAGGGUAUUUUAGGAAAAUAGCAAUCUAAAUUUGUUUUUCAACAAAGUUAACUACUUUUUCUUAAACUGUGUGAAAAAAAAAUUAGAACAAUCAAAAUGAGACAGAGAGAGUAAUUUUUACUGUACCAAUUUUAAAAUUUUUUGUAAGGUAGAACUUUACAUCGGGGUGCACUUGAAAGAGAUACACAUUAUGACUACCUAACUUGGGGUACCUCGCACAUUAAAGCACCUACUCUAUUAUCGAAUGGAACUAAUAUAGAAUCCUUUUCCACCAAUUAAAUAUGACAAGACUUCAAGUAUGGUUAUCCUCUCACUCUCGACUGUAUGAUUGAUGAUUACGUGGCAAACUUUUGAGUAACAAUAUGAAUGACACAAUUCACAGUUGAGUUGAUCUGUCCUAACUUGGAUGUCUAGAUAGUAAUAUAUUAAAGGACAGUUGAUCAUCUUUAUAUAAACUUCAGCAUUUCAUUACUAAUUGGUGCAGCACAUAAGUAUUGGCUCAGAAUUUGCAGGUAUCAAUCCAAAAAAAAAAACACACACACACAUAGAGAUUUUCGUUCAAGUAAUCCAGGAGAUGUCAUCUUCAACUGAAGUGGAGCAAAAAGAUGAUCACUUUGAAGAGUUUUUCCAAAGGUUGCAACCAAAGAAGCCGAUAGAAGGGGGCUUGCUGGCUAAUUACCAAGGGGUUUGGUUUGAUGCAGAUUUACUUCAAGCUACAUUAACCUUUCAAAAGAAUUUCAAAGCCAAUGAGUCUGACAUUAUUUUGGCCACCAUGCCGAAAUCAGGCACCACAUGGCUUAAAGCCCUCACCAUCAGUAUUGUUAACCGCAACAAUCAUUCAGUUGAUGAGAGCCCUUUGCUCUUCUCCAACCCUCAUUAUCUGGUUCCUUUUCUCGAGAUGUAUCUGUAGAAAGAUGGUAAUAUUCCAGAUAUAGAUGCUAUGCCUUGCCCGCGAAUCCUUGCAACUCACCUACCUUAUCAAUUCCUUCCAAGCACCAUUUUGGAUUGUUCCAACUGUCGAAUCAUCUACCUUUGCCGAAACCCUUUGGAUGUAUUCACCUCUACGCUGCACUUUGUGCUGCAAAAUCGUUUUGCAUCAAGGCCAUUGGCGUCUCUUGAUGUACCUUUUGAAGAGUUUUGUCAGGGCAUAUACCCUUAUGGUCCAUUCUGGGACCAUUGUUUGGGAUAUUGGAAUGCAAGCUUGAAGAACCCUCAAAAAGUGUUGUUUUUGAAGUAUGAGGAUUUUAAAAAAAAAGUAUCACUAGCUCCGUGAAGAAGAUAGCUAACUUUUUAGGUCAUCCAUUUUCAGCUGAGGAAGGGGAAGCAGGUUUGGUUGAAGAGAUAGCAACGCUUUGUAGCUUCGAAAAUCUUAAGAAUUUGAACUGUAACAAAGAGGGGGAGAUACAAACUGUUUUUAGAGCUAAGCAUAAUUCCUUUUUCAGGAAAGUGCCAUUGACUGAAUCUUAAAUUCACCAAACAUUGUUACUGAAUGGACCUAAAUGAAAUAAACUUGACGAUUUAGGCCAUAAACUUUUUAAAAUUAAGAGUUUAAAGUGCAAAGUAUCGAGAAUACAAAUUUAAGAUACAAAGUGAAAAAAUGAUAAAAGUUUAAGGGUAUAAAGUGAAAUUAGUCCAAUUAGGAUUAACCCUUAAGCAAGGGCCAACGCUCAUCAGAUUAAUGACUUCCUUGGAUCUUGUUUCAUUUUCCUUGUCAUUUUACGCACCAAGCCUGGCAAAUUUUAGUAAAAGAAUUUUUUUAUAUGAAAUUCGUUUAAACCGUUUUAGUAUUUUGUUAAAUAAAUUUUUUCAUCCUUUAGUUUUUAAAUAAUAACUUUAUAUCUCUUGAAGUAUUGAAAGGUAGCCUCAAACUAGCAUCUAUUAUCGUUCCUCUAACUUCUAUGCCUUGCUACCUGAUACGGAUAGUACGGCGUAUAACGAUAAUAAUAAUAACUACUCCUAUUAAUUUUUACUGCACCAAUUUUAAAAUUUUUUGUAAUGUAAAACUUUACAUCAAGAUGCACCUUAAAGACAUACAUAUUAUGAUCACCUAACUUGUGGUACCUCGCACAUUAAAGCACCUACUUUAUUAUCUGUAGCCAGCUAUGAUCCAAUGGAAUUAAUAUAGAAUCCUUUUCCACCAAUUAAAUGUCACAAGACUUCAAGUAUGGUUAGCCUCUCACUCUCAUCGACUGUGUGAUUGAUGCACACUGAUAUUUGACAUAUGAAAGAGAGGUCUCUCUUAGUAGUAAUAUUUAUUUUGUAACUUUUAUUGAUGAUUUUAUCGGAAAAAUUUUGUGUUUUGUUUUGAAAUCUAAAGAUCAGGUUUCAUAUGUGUUCAAAGAUUUUCGUAGCUAAGUUGAGAGGGACACUAACAAAUAGUUAAGUACUGAGGAUCAUUUGAAAACUAAUGCAAGUCUCAUGGGAUCAAACUAGAAGUAUCAAUUGAUUUUGAUCAUAGGGGAGCUGAAACAGAGCAGUGAGAGAAUAUUGAUGAAAGUGAUACUGCUACUAGGGGCGGGCAAAAUUAUCCGCUAACCCGAAAACCCGUCAUAUCCGAUCCGAUCCGAUCCAAAAAUUAGGAUAUCCUAUUUUUAUUAUUUGAUUGGGUCGAAAGAGGAUCGGAUACCCGUUAAGAUGCGGGGCGGGUUAGAGUCACAUAAUUAAAAAUCCGCGGGUACCCGAUCCGCCCCGAAAAUAUAUAUUUUUUAUUUUUAUACACACACUAUAAAAUAAUAAGUUAGAACUAAAUAAGUAAUUUUAUUGAACAAAUUGCAUUACAAAUAUGAGAGACUAUAGUUUAUUUACAAGAUUCAUUUGUAAAGGCCAUGAUCUUAUAUUUUAUAGAAAAAAGUUUAAUUAAUGUGAAACAUAUAUAUAUAUAUUAAAAAUUGUGUUACUUAUUUCAAACUUUUUAUUGAUUUUGAAUUCUUUUAAUUUUUUUCCUUUAUCUUAUAUUCUCUUCACAUGCUUGUUUCUUGGUGGGAAAUCUUUUUUUUAGAAAAAAAAUUUAUUAAAUGUCAGAUGAAUGUGUAAAAUAUACAAUUAAAUUGGUAUAAAUCAUUUUUUUUAAAAAAAAUUGAAUGAUAAAUGGAGCGGGGUGGGUACCAGCUAACCCGACCUUAUCUCAGCGGGUACUCGAUUAUAGGGUACCCGCUAAUAUGCGAGGCGGGUAAGGGUCAGAAAAUGGCUUACCCGCAAGGCGCGGGUCGGAUCAGCCAAAUGGUGAAUGGGUUGGGUACCCGACCCGCGUCCACCCCUAACUGCUACUGACGAACUUGAGCAAGAGACGUAGUCAACUUCACCAUCACCACCACAAGAUGAGUCUAGAAGAUCUACCAGAAAGAGGAGACAUUCUAGUAGAUAUAAUCCUAAUGAGUAUGUGUUGCUAAUAUAUGGAGAGGAACUUGAGUUCUACAGUGAGGUUCUAGAGUACGAGAGAAAAGAAGAUUGGUUGGAAACUAUGCAAGAGGAGAUAAUGUCCUUACAUAAGAAUCACAGCUAUGACCUGAUGAAAUUGCCUAAGAGCAAGAGAGCACUAAAAAUGGAAUAGAUUUUUAAGUUGAGGACUCAAGAGCACAACUCACUACUAAAGUAGAAGGCAAGAUUGGUUGUGAACAAAUUCAGUAAGAAGGGUGAUUUGAAAUGCGAUUGAGAUGAAAUUUUAACCAUACAAUUCUCUUGUCGAGCUCUACGCAUCUACAGAUUUAGUUGUUGAAUUUUCUCUUCAUUUGGUAAUAUCUUUCCAAAUCCACUUCUUUGACAUUUAUAGUUUGGGAGAUGAAUUUGUUAUAAUUUUACUUGAUUGAUAUUGGUGAUAUUGUUGUUAUCCGGAUAUUUUUGGUAAACCUGUGUGUUCCCAUUACUGUGAUAUUGGAGAUUUUUUAACUGGACUAGGUCCCAUGAUUUUUUCAAAUUGGAUUUUCUAUGUUAAAAAUUUUGGUGUCACGUGUCUUUUGGUUUUUUUUUUUUUUUUUGCAUUUUAUUAUUAUUAUUGAUAUUAUUGUUUGGUGAUUUAGUUUGUUCCUAUCUUAACUGAUACUUGAAAAAAGUAAUUUGUUCUGAAUUAAAUAUGAUAUUAUAUGCCUGCACCAGUACCCUUUUCCAUCACUAUCUUGGAUGUCUAGAUAAUAUAUUGACGGACGGUUGAUCAUCGCUAUAUAAACUUCAGCAUUUCAUUAUUAAUUGGUGCAGCACUUAAGUAUUGGCUCAGAAUUUUCUGGUAUCAAUCCAAAAAAAAAAACACACACACACACACACAUAGAGAUUUUCAUUCAAGUAAUCCAGGAGAUGUCAUCUUCAACUGAAGUGGAGCAAAAAGAUGAUCACUUUGAAGAGCUCUUCCAGAGGUUGCAACCAAAGAAGCCUGUAGCAGGGGGCCUGGUGGCUAAUUACCAAGGCGUUUGGUUUUAUGCAGACUUGCUUCAAGCCACAUUAACCUUUCAAAAGCACUUCAAAGCCAUUGACUCUGACAUUAUUUUGGCCAGCAUGCCGAAAUCGGGAACCACAUGGCUUAAAGCCCUCACCUUCAGUAUUGUUAACCGCAACAAUCAUUCAGUCGAUGACAGCCCUUUGCUCUUCUCCAACCCUCAUUAUCUCGUCCCUUUUCUCGAGAUAUAUCUGUACAAGGAUGGUAAUAUUCCCGAUAUAGACUCUAUGCCUUGCCCACGAAUCCUCGCUACUCACCUCCCUUAUCAAUUCCUUCCUAGCAGCAUCUUGGAUUGCUCCAAUUGUCGAAUCAUCUACCUGUGCCGAAACCCUUUGGAUGUGUUCACUUCGUUGUUGCAAUUCUUGCUGCAAAAUGGUCUUAUUUCAAGCCCAUCGAUGUCUAUUGAUGUACCUUUUGAAGAGUUUUGUCAGGGCAUACACCCGUAUGGUCCAUUUUGGGACCAUUGUUUGGGAUAUUGGGAUGCAAGCUUGAAAAACCCUCAAAAAGUGUUGUUUUUGAAGUAUGAGGAUCUAAAAAAGGAUGUCAAUAGCUCCGUGAAGAAGAUAGCCGACUUUUUAGGAUAUCCAUUUUCAGCUGAGGAACAGGAAGCCGGUUUGGUUGAAGAAAUAGCAAUGCUCUGCAGCUUCGAAAAUCUUAAGAAUUUGGACUGUAACAAGGAGGGGGAGAUACACGGCGCUUUUAGAGUUAAGCAUAGUUCCUUUUUCAGGAAGGCAGAAGUUGGUGAUUGGGUAAAUGUACUAACUCCUUCCAUGGCCAACCGACUUGAAAAAUUGUUUCAAGAAAAGCUUGGGGAAUCCGGGUUGACGCUGGAAAUCAAGAGCAAAUAGAUCACUAUGCGUGUUUCAUGUGAGAUUUCUCAUUAGAUUGUCAUGCAUGUUUCAUGUGGAUAUCUCUCUCCCCUCUUGGACUAGUUCAGCAAAUCUGAUCAACGGUUCAGCUCCAAAAACGAGAAAACAAAAGAGAAGACCUAAUACGCUUAUCUUCAACUAUUUGUUGCUUAUUGCUGUGUAAUGGUUGUAUCAGUUACUUUUCAUUCAGUUGUUGUAUGACUAAAAUAUCACAUAUGCGUGCACCAAAAUAUCUUUAUCAUUUUGACUGGGUUCAUUCCCUUCCUUGUUUUUUUCAAGCCGAAAUGAUAAAUAUGCUCAUAGAAUCGUGCUCAAAAUGUUUCCUGAUAGUAGGACUAUUCUCAUUUGAAACUCCAAGAAAAAAGGACAAAAGAAAAUAUUUGGGACUUAAGUCACAUAAUGGAUUUUAGUCAGGAGAACUUUUUGUAAAUCCUGUUUUGUGUUGUUUUUAAUCACUAACGAUGAAGUGUAUUGUGGUUUUGCUAUUUAGAGUUUUUGUUUAUCUGAACUACAAGUUUUUUUUUUUUUUUUUU
RNAcentral lists this long non-coding RNA (72537 nucleotides) under Coffea arabica (coffee). RNAcentral's name for it is "long non-coding RNA (CARA_LNC005858)". Lineage: Eukaryota; Viridiplantae; Streptophyta; Magnoliopsida; Gentianales; Rubiaceae. The record is from RNAcentral.